AAUAAAUAACUUUACUCUCAUUUUCUCUGGGUUUACUAUUUCACCCUUGGGGAUUUUCCUUCAUGGCUAAGUCAAAGUCAAUACGUAGACGAUGUAAACCAUAUUAUAUACUCAUAAAAUUGUUAUUAGAUUUUUAUUACAGAAUUUUCAAUUUAAUUUGUUUAAGAACGAAUUAAACUUAUUUUAUUAAAUAAAUGACAUUUUUUAUCUGAAAUUUUUUUUUGCAGCAGUAAAACGCAAUCGAACUGAUAAAUGGGUCAUUGGACCGGGUCGGCCACGCGUUGAAUAGGACAGGCUCGCUUGUUUGCUUUGAAUUUCUGGUUGGUUGUUUUUGCACGACAAGAAUUUAAAAAGAGUGACCGUUUGUCAGGUUUGCUUAGAGACACGUGGGUUUCACAUAUCGGUUUGAGCUUGGUCUUUGCGUGUGUCGGUUUUUUCCAACUGCGUCUUCUUGGAUUAAACGGAUCAAAAAUCAUUAAACAUUGAUAAUUUCAAUUACGUUAAUUUUUAAAAAUAAUCCCCUGUAUUUCAUUUUUUAUCCAGUAUUUUAAUUUUAUUAUUUCUGUAUUUAUAAUCUAUAUUAUUAUUGAUGUCACAAGUUAAUUAAAAACUAACUUAAUUAAAAAAUUAUAAAAAUACUUUCAUAUUUAAAAUAAAUUAUAUUAUUUAAAGGCAUUUUAAUUUUUUAUUUAAAAAUAAAAAAUAUACAUUUUGUAAUAUUUAAACACACAUCAAUUGAAUUGGUGAAAUCUCAAUUUUACUCAACUAAAGUCUUAUUUUAAAUUUCUUUUUUACAUUUUUAUUUUAUUAAGUACACUUUAUUACAUUAAUUAAUUGCAUAUCUAUACUUCAAUAUUAUUAUUUAAGCUUCUAAUUGAAUUAAUGUCACAAGUCAAUAGAAUAUAACUUAGUUAGAGAAAUUAUAAAAAAAAUCAUUCUAUAUUUAAAAUAAAUAAUAUUAUUAGAGAGUAUUUCAGUUUUUUUAUUUAAAAACCAUAAAAAAUUAUGCAUAUUAUUGAUUAGGCAUGUUCAAACGAUCUGUUCGGUUAUUAACCAAAGUAAAUUAUUAUUAACUGAAUUACUCAAAAUGUAAAAACCUUUAACCAUUAACCGAACUUUUUUUUUCAAAUGCAUUAACCAAACCGAAAUAUUUUGGUUAAUUCAGUUAGUUAACCGAAUUAACCAAAAUUUAUAUGUUUUUAUCUUUUGGUUAAAAUAAGUAUAAAACAUAUAUUGCUAAUAUUCAUUCUUUUUAAUAGUUAAAAAAUAUAUAAUAUAUAAUAUAUAAUAUUUAUUCGAUUAAUAUAAAAAAUAAUAGUUCAAGAAAUACAUUGCUAAUAUAAAAAUAUAUUAUAUAUAUUAUUUAAUUCGGUUAAUUACCCGAUGUUGAACCGAAUUAAUCGAUAAUCAAAAUUUUAAAAAAUCAUUAACCAACCUUCGACCAAACUAAAUUUGGUCACCGACCGAUUAAUCGAAUUAGAUCAGUUUGGUCAGUUAAUUUGGUUUUAACCGAGCCAUGAACACCUCUAUUGUUGAUUAGGUUAGUAUCACAAAUUAAAUCGACAACAACUUAGGAUAGACGUGUCCAUUUAGUAUUAUUAAUUUGAUAUAUUUAUGUGUUUAAAUUUUAUUUUACUUACAAUUUAUUCUAAUUCUUUUCUAUUUUAAUAUCGUACAUAUUCAUGUGUUAUUAAUAAUUAGUUUUAAACCAUAUAUUUUAUUAUUUAUUAUAUGUUAUUUUUAAAUACACAUUUGUGUUUUAAAUGCUUGGUUUUCACAUGUAUAUUUGUGUGAUAGAAUUUCUAAUUUAUAAUGAUUAUGCUUGUAGAACUUUUGAGGCAACAAAUUUGUUAAAACAUGAUUUAGGGUUCCUCAAAUGGUAUACAAAAAAAUUGAUUUUUUAUAAGGAUAAAUAUUAAAAUUAUGCAUGAACUUUGAUAAAAUAUGUAAAGUUACACAUAAAUUAUAAUUAUGUAAUCUUAUACAUAAGAUUUUCAUUUAAUUUAAUUUUCACAACAGGGGCGAAGCUAGAAAUUUUUUUAAGAGGGACGAAAUUAAAUUAUAAUUUUUACGAUAGUAAAAAUGUAAUUUUACUAUUUUAAUAGUUUAUAUCUUUAUAAUUUUUAAAGGAUUAAAUUAAAUUUUUAUUAUUUUUAGGGGGGUCAAAGUACAAUUUUACUUUUACUAAUUUAAAAUUUUAAAAAUUUCAAAAGACCUAAAUAAAAAAAAUCAUUUUAGGGGGUCGAAACUCCUGCCAACCCCUUAGUUUCGCUCCUGUUUCACAAGUCAUUGACACAAUUAUCAUUAUAAAAUCAUUUUACAUUUACAUAUUACAUGCAUAGAUAACUUUAUUUAUCUAUUAUAUAAAUAAAUUGGUGCGUUUGUAUUUUUUUAUGUGUAUAGAUAAAUCAAAAUUAAAAUUUUAUAUAUACAUUUAAAUUAAAAUUAAAAUUUAAUGUAUAUGAUUAUACCAAAUCAAAGUUUAUAUAUCAAAUUAUAUAUUCAAUCAAAAUUUAUAUGUUAAGAUUUAUUUUUUUAUAAGGCGUAAAUGCAAAAUUGUAAUUGAGCUAUAAUUUUUUUCCUAUUUAUAUAUCUCUCUUUUAAUAAAAAAAAUUAUGUUUAAAGAAAGAUUCUGUGACACUAAUUACUCCCGGCAGUACUUUCGUUAAAAAUACUUUUACUAAUUAAAUCAUAAGUGACACCUCUUUUUUUUAAUAUAUUAAUUUUUUUAUUUGUGAAAAUUUAUCUAGCGUAUGAAUUAAUUAUAAUUUUAAAAGUUAUGUAAGUCUCUCAAAAUUUGAAUUUAAUAAUGUUAAAUAAGUAAAUUUACAUCAUUUAUAUAUUAUAAAACAAUCAAUACACCUUUAAUUAAUAAUAGUAUAAAUUAGACCUUAAAUAUAGAUGUGUGUAUUUAUUGUAUUUAAAUUAAAAUAUAUGUUUAAUUAAUUUAUAAUUUUAUAUAUAAUAUUUACAUAUACUAUAAUUUUGUACAUGUAUAAAAUUUUAAUUAAUUAUAAAAUAUUUACACAUACUACAAUUUAAGUGCAUAUAAUAAUAUUUAUUAGAAUUUAAAUUUAAAUUUAUAAUAAAACUAGUGAAAAGAUUGACACUUAAUUAUAGAGUAAAAAAUGAAGAAUCUGACACUUAUUUAUAAGGUAAGUGUAAACAUGAUAGUAUUCUUUAAUUAGUGUAGGAUUCAAAAUUAACGUUUUAAGGGAUUUAAAUUAUUUUUUAAUGAAAAUAAUAAUAAAAAUGAGCUAUAGAAGUAUUCUUUAGUCAAUGUGAGAUUAAAUUUAACUUUUUAAUGGAAAUAGUGAUGAAAUUGUCACUUAUAAAUUAAAUGUGAUAUAUGAGAGUAUUUUUUUAAUCAAUGUGAGAUUAAAAUUAACUUUUUUAAUGAAAAUAGUGAAGAAAUUGACACUUGUUUAUAAGGUAAGUAUGAGCAUGUGAGUGUUCUCUAGCAAAUAUAGUAUUGAAAUUAACUUUUUAAAGGAUCAAAAUUAUUUUUUUAAUAAAAUAGUGAAGAAGUGAGCUAUGAGAGUUAUGGGUGAGCAAAACUUGAUUCGAUUCGAAAAAAUAAAAUAAAAAUUUAAAUUUUAAGUUAAUUGAAUCAAAUUAUUUGAGUCAACUCAAAUAAGUAAUUCAAGUUUCGAGUUCGAAUCGUGUUUAAUUUUACAAUUCAAAUAACUUGAAUAAUAGAUUAGUGUAAAUACCCCUUUGGUCCUUGUUAAUCUUGAAAAUAAGCAAAUUGGUCUCUUUCUCAACAAAAAUUAUAAAAAAGAAAUAUAAAAUAAUUUUUAAAAUUUAAAAUAUUUAUAUUUUUUAAAAUUUUUUUAAUAAUUUUAAAAUAAUUUAAAAUAUUUAUAUUUUUUUAAAUUUUUUUAAUAAUUUUAAAAUAAUUCUAAGGAAUAUAUAAAUAAAGUUAAAAUUUUAAAUUUUUUUUCUAAAACAAUACUUUUGGGGACCUAAAUAAGUUAAUUAAUGAUUUAAAUUUAUCAUACUAAAGUCUGUUUUAUUAUUAUUAUUUUGUUUUGAAAUUUUUUUCAAAUAUAUAUGGUUUCAAAUUUAUGUGCUCCAACAUGGAAUUAGUUAUAUUGUAAUAGGAUUUUAAUUUGAUAUGUUUAAUUUUUUUAAUUUAACUCGAACAAUUUACUCUAUUCGGUUCAAAUGAAUUUCAUUUUACUCGAUUCGAUUCGAAAAAAUUUCAAAUCGAGUUAGAAUGAUAAAAUAGCAUUUGUCAUCUCGAUUAACUUAAAAUUUUUCCACUCGAUUCGGCCGAACAUUUACCCUUAAUAAGAGUAUUCUCUAGUCAAUGAAUAUAGAGUGUUCCCCAGUAAAUAUGGGAUUGAAAUUAACUUUUUAAAAGAUCAAAAUUAAUUUUUAAUGAAAAUGGUAAAGAAGUAAAUUAUGGUUAGAUGGGGAGCCAUUAAUUGUUCCAAGCCAAAUAGUUUUUGACACUCGAUCUAUCUAUAGUUGCCGUAAGCUAUCUGACUUCAUCAUCAAAUCUUGCAAUCUUAUGUUAGUACGAUAUGUUUCUAUAAUUUUUUUUAUCAUUUUUUAUUUUAGCAUAAAUAUUUUUAUUGAUUUUUUUUUUGUUAAACAAUAAUUUACUUGCAAAUUUCAUUUUUUUUUUACUAAUCAAGACUUGUAAUAUGAACUCUUAACUAAAUUUUUCUUUAAAGUUUCUCUAAGUAUAUAACCUGUCUAAAGCUCAAAUCAGGGGCGAAGGCAGGGGAGCUGGCAUGAACCCUGGCCUCCCCUAAAAUAUAAAAUUAUUUUUAUGCCCUUAAAUUUUUUUUAAAAUUUUAAAUUAGUAAAGGUAAAAUUGCACUUUGCCCCCUCUAAAAUUAUAAAAAUUCGAUUUAAUCCUUUACAAAUUAUAAAGAUAUAAACUAUAAAAAAUUAAAAUUUCAUUCGGCCCCCCCAAAAAAAUUUUCAGGCUUCGCCCCUGUCUCAAAUGCUUGCUUUUCUUUUUUUAACUUUGAAGAGGACUUGAUUCAUUGAUUUCUCAUGCUUGAUUCAUUGAUUUCGCAUGCUUUAUUGUUGAUUUUUUUUUAGAAUAUUUAUUGUGUUUUUAUAAGAAAGUCUUAAGAUUUUAGCCAUAUCUAGGUUUAAAGAGAGUAGAGGAUUUGUUUUGAAGAAUAAUGGUGGUAAGGGGAGUAACUAAGGUUCGUGAAGAGCUACAUAAGGAUAUUAUUGUAGCAUUAGACAUUUUAGAAUUACAUAUUAAUGGGGAAGUUAAUAAAUCCCUAGCAGGGAAAGUGCUCUUUGGCAAGAAUAUGAAGUUGACCUCUAAACUGUUGUGGUCUAUUUUCAACGAUUGUUUGUGUAACAUCCCUUCCAUGUUUUGAUAAUUGGUGCGGAUAGAAAUGUUGCCAUUUGAAUAAGCACAUAUAUGACUUAUAAUUCUCUAAGUAGUAAAUCUUUAAAAUAAUUUAAGGAAAUCAUUGAAUUAAAUUUAGAACAAUUUAGGGGCUUUAAAAACAUUUUAAAAUGAUUUAGAAGUGGUUUGGAGGGAAUUGAAGGUGCUUGGGAUCCAAAGUGAGCUUCAGGAAGUCAAAAUUGGACAAAAUAGUGUAAUUGGCCCAACCUGGAGCGGAGGUAUCGAUACAUACCUCUAAAAGAAGUGCUAAUACCUCUCCAUGGUAUUGUUCAUUUUUCCUCACUAACUUGGAUGUUUCGAUACACCCAAGCUAGGUAUUGAAACCUUGGACUCUUGAACUCUUGGAGCCAAAAUUGAGUCAUUUCCUUUAUAUAUAUACCUAAAAGUAAGGUACUGGAACCUUGAAGUGGUGGGCCAAAAAUUCAUGUUGGAAGCACCUUAAACCAUCCCAAAACUCCUCAUAACAAGUUAAGCAAAAGCAUACUCAAAAAUCACUUGAAAACAUGCAAAUUCUACCUCAAAACAAACACUAACUUAACUCAUAUCUACAUACCAUUAAUGCAACUCUUGAAACAUGUUAAGACCUAAUUAACACCUUCAAAAUAUGUAAAAUUUUCAUUCAAUUCUUAGCUCACAUCAUAAGAGUAAUAUGCAUGCUUACUUAGCAAAGCGUUCAUACAUUAACCAAAGCUCAAGCCAAUCAAAUGAGUUCGAGCUUGACCAAUUUAUGGAAAAAAUCAAAUUCAAGUUUACUCAAUGAUGUGACCAUAGGUCGGGAAGUUACCACCACGCUGCCACAAGGUCCUAUAACUCGGCUUCAAACUAAAAGGUUUCAAGAUGUGUUAGCAAGCUAUGUUAAUCGAGCUUGGGGAGAGCAAGCAGCCGAAUCCAUCGAACAUGUUUGGAUCAGCUCAAUAGGCGUCCCUUGCAAUUUAUUACAAGCUGAAUUUUACUUUUAAUUGAACUCAUCUUAGUUAGUAAUUAAGUUGCUAGAAUAAAUGUUUAUCUUAGUUAAUUGAGGUGCUAGAAUAAAUACUUAUCUUAGUUAAUUUAGUUGCUGGAAUAAUUUAUUGUUACAUGUGUUUAAUGUGUUUAAUGUGUGAUUAAUAUGUUUAAUGUGUUUUAAUGUGUUUGUUAAAUGAAUGCUUGUAGGUGACUAUUCAGCUGGAAUCGAUUACAAACAAGGGGUGGUUACAAAGUGUUAAAUGCGACUAUUUAGUUGGAAUCAGUUAUAUAUAAGGGGCUGUUACAACAUUUAAAGAUGAGCAUUUUUCACCAUUUAAAUUCGGCAGCCUAUUCCUCUUCUCCAAGAAGUUGUUUAAUAAUAGCAAAGGACAAUGGAGUGAUUACACAUUCCAUAAUCGAUUGCCUCUUAAUGAUCAUACCAUGGUCUGUUUGAGUGCCCAAAAUUUUAUCCAUAUUGCUGGUGUCUAUUCGAUUGCCCAAGUUUUCAAGUUCAGUUAAAUCAUGCUGAUAGUUGUUGGUAAUUAGUCCUAGAGGUUUCAAGAGUUUGUGCUCAGUGAUUAAGUUUCAUUUCAGCCCAUAACCACUCAUUAAAGCUGAAUUCAAGUGACUUUUCGGCUAAGUCCCUUGUAGCACUAUAAAUAUUUUGUAAUCAGCUUGUUUAGAGAACCUUUUGUUGAAUUUAUGUUAAAUUUAAAACUUGUGAGAUUUCCAAUUCUCCUUGUUCUUUUGGGACUGAAUUGACUUAUCAAGUAUUCUUGUGGCGUCAAUCUGUUCUUUGUUAAACCAAACUUAUCACCUUUGGUGUGGCGUUCAUAUACCUUUGGUUCCUAUCACAUUUGAUAACGAGUCAAGGUUUUGUGUUGUUUUCCCUAAACCGAAUUCACCUAAGACCUAUUUUGAGUUUCGAGUCAACAAUCACAUUAUUGUUAGUUCAUUCUCAAGCCUUAAUCGAAUUACCUAUCUUUGCUUAACCAUUUUGCAACCUUGUUUUAAGCCUAUUUCUUUCUUCUCAUCAGUCUAUUUUGAUUAAACCUAAUUCAUUUUGAAAACGAUUUAACUCUUACUCAAAUUCACGAUUGGGCAACAAAUACGACUCGAGACAUCUACAAUCGAGUUCAUAUCAUUUGGUAUCAAAGCUAGUGGAAUUGGAGUAAGAAUCGACGUUCUCGGCACAACGGUAUUGUAGAUUCGAUUAAAAAAUUUCGUGAAUUUAAAAGUAGUUAUUGUAACUAGCAUAUUGUAAGUGAAAAAAAAUUAUUUCAAAAUUAAAAAAAGUGUAAUAGUUUUUCAUUGCCAAAUUUUUUUUAUUUGAAAAAUUUUGCUUAUUGCCCGGAAACAUCCAUUCAACAUCCUACCCUUCGGCCACACCCAACCUUUUCUAAUUCUUUGUUUCAAGCCUACCUUCUUUGUCCUACAACAUUCUUACCAAAACUGUACAUCAAUUUUGCCAAUCGACCCACAACGGCUGCUUCUAAGUCUAACUAGUCCCUUUAAGAACUUAGAGAGGCGGAGUGAGUAGAAAAAGGCAGGAGGGUUGUGAGUUCAUCGAGUGAAGAAAAAGCCAGUGAGUGUGAUUUCUUUGUAAGAGAAUUUGUGAGGUUUUGUUGUGAGUACCUAAAAUAUCCCAAAGUCCAGAAAGAAAUCCAAACGAGGGAGUUGGGAUCCGACCUGUAAGAAACGUUGGAGGAGGCGUGCCAGAUCUCACCCUUCAAGCACUCAUGCGAAUGGAGCGGUUAUUCGAUCGUAAACUCGAACCAAUCGAAGAUCUAUUAUUUCGAGUCAAAACACGAGAACAACAUGAGGCAAGUCCGGAAAUUGCAAGGCGAGGGCAUGGAUGUCCAAUCCAAGAUCCCUAUGAAGUGAGCGAUCAAGAAAGUGAUCAUUCAUCUGCCCAAAGUGUACGUCAACGAGGCUGCCAACGAAAUUGGAGCCCUAGAGAUCAAGCCCUUAAGAAUAUUAAGAUGUCGAUUCCACCAUUCUAAGGUAAGAACGACCCCGAAGCUUAUUUGGAGUGCGAAAAGAAGAUUGAGCUCAUUUUCGAAUGCCAUAAUUAUUCGAAAAGUAAAAAGGUGAAGCUCGCAGCAAUCGAGUUUUUGGAUUAUGCCAUUGUAUGGUGGGACCAACUUGUAAUGAGUCGAAGAUGAAACGGUGAAAGACCCAUCUCUACUUGGGUUGAAAUGAAGUCGGUUAUGCGGAAACGAUUUAUUCCUUCAUACUACCAUCGGGAUCUUUAUCGACGAUUACAAAACGUUACCCAAGGCAAUAAAAGUAUUGAAAACUAUUAUAAAGAAAUGAAGAUAGCAAUGAUCAGAACUGAUAUCGAGGAGGAUCGAGAGGUGACAAUGGCUAGAUUCCUUGAGGGUCUAAACUGUGACAUCGCCAACACAGUUGAAUUACAACACUAUGUUGAAGUGAUGGACAUGGUUCACAUGGCGAUAAAAGUUGAAAAACAACUCAAACGAAAAGGAGUUAAUCGAUCCUACACCAAUCUCUCCACUAACAAGUGGAGGCAAUGAGUCAAUAAAUCCCCUGUUCGAACAAAGGAGCCAGUUGUAGCAACUAAAUCCAAUCAACCCAUUGGUGAGUCAAGUCAGAAUAAAAACGAGUAAGUGCCAAAUCGCGCGAGAGACAUCAAAUGUUUCAAGUGUCAAGGCCAGGGGUACAUAGCUAGCCAAUGUCCCAAUCGACGAGUUAUGGUGGUAAGGGCUGACGACAAAAUUGAAUUCGAGAAAGAAGAUGAAAAUGAGCAUGAAAAGCCAUCCGAUGAUGAUGAUGAAGAUUUGGAGCUUCCGGUUGAAGGCGAGAUCUUUGUGGUGAAAAGGAGCCUCAAUAUUCAAAGUGCUGAAACUGAACAACAACGGGAAAAUAUUUUCCACACCUGGUACAACAUCCAAGGCAAGGUUUGUAGCAUGAUUAUUGAUGGAGGAAGUUGUACUAAUCUAGCAAGUACCAUGUUGAUUGACAGGCUUCAGUUAGCCACGACCAAACACCUAAAUUCAUACAAGCUACAAUGGUUGAAUGAUGGAGGAGAACUUAAAGUGACAAAGCAAGCUGCUGUAGCCUUUUCCAUUGGAAAAUAUCAAGAUAAAGUGGUAUGUGACGUAGUUCCAAUGCAUGUAGGACACCUUCUUUUGGAGUGUCCAUGAUUGUUUGAUCGACGACAAUUCAUGACGGAUACACCAACCGUUACACAUUUAAAUAUCUAGGCAAAAAUGUAACCCUAGCCCCACUUACCCCGAAACAAUUGUAUUAAGAUCAAAUUAAGUUAAAAGAGUCUGUAAAAAAAUCAAAAUAAAAAUAGCAAGAAAAAAAGAAAGAAAAAGAAAAGAAACACGAGAAAAAGAAAGAUACGAGUGAGAGAGUGGAGGUAAAAGCACGAGAGGAAAAAAGAAGUCAAAAAGAAAAUGAGAGUAAUAAAAUAAGUGUAUUUGUGAGGGAAAGAGGAAUAAGAAAAUCUUUGUUGAUGCGCCAAUCUAUGCUUGUACUUAUGUACAAUGAGUGUUUAUUCGAUGCUAACAAACUUGAUAACUCUUUGCCUUUUUCUGUUGUUUCAUUACUUCAGAAAUUCGAACAAAUUUUUUGGAAGAAGUGCCUAGUGGUUGCCUCCUCUCUGAGGAAUCGAACACCAAAUAGACUUUGUUCCCGGGGCUAUAAUUCCAAAUCGACCAGCUUACUGAAGCAACCCCGUGGAAACUAAAGAGUUGCAACAAAAAGUAGUGGAAUUAAUAGAGAAAAGUUAUAUAAAGGAGAGUCUAAGUCCAUGCGCAAUACCAGUUUUGUUGGUGCCUAAAAAGGAUGGAUCGUGGAAGAUGUACGUAGAUUGCCGAGCCAUCAACAAGAUUACUGUCAAAUACCAUCAUCUCAUCCCUAGACUUGAUGAUAUGUUAAAUGAGCUUAGCGGUGCUAAAUUAUUCUCUAAGAUCGAUCUGAAAAGCGGCUAUCAUCAAAUUCGCAUGCGGGAGAGGGACGAGUGAAAGACUGGGUUUAAGACCAAAUAUGAUUUGUAUAAGUGGCUAGUGAUGCCAUUCGGCCUCACCAAUGCCCCGAGUACUUUCAUGAGGUUGAUGAACCACCUUUUGAGGUCUUUCAUUGGUCAUUUUUGCGUAGUUUAUUUUGACGAUAUAUUAAUUUAUAGUAAAUCCUUAUCUGAUCAUCUUAAACAUCUGCGUGCUGUUUUGGAGGUUUUGCGAAAGAAAGUCUUGUAUGUAAACCUUAAGAAAUGUAACCUUUUUACUGACAAAGUUGUUUUUCUAAGUUUUGUUGUAAGUGCGAGUGGCCUCGAGGUGGAUCAAGACAAGAUUAAAGCGAUACAAGAAUGACCACGUUCGACAAACAUCAGCCAAGUUAGAAGCUUUCAUAGUCUUACAUGCUUCUAUAGGAGGUUUAUGCGAACUUCAGCACUUUUGCUGCCUCAUUAACUGGUAUUAUCAAAAAGAAUUCUCCUUUCAUUUGGUUUGAUGAACAAGAAUUUGCUUUUGUUAAAAUCAAAGAUUGUUUAACUAAUGCUCCACUUUUGUGUUUACCAGAUUUUAACAAAAUUUUCAAGGUGGAAUAUGAUGUCUCUAGUAUAGGUAUAGGUGUGAUUUUAACACAAGAUGGGUGUCCGGUGGCUUAUUUCAGUGAGAAACUUAACGGGGCUACACUCAAUUACCCCACCUAUGACAAGGAAAUGUAUAAGUUGAUACGUGCAUUAGAGACAUGGCAGUAUUACCUUUGGUCGAAAGAGUUCGUUAUACACACAGACCAUAAGGCUUUAAAACACUUGAGAGGGCAAACCAAGCUCAACAAACAUCAUGCAAAAUGGGUCGAGUUCUUAGAAUCCUUCCCAUAUGUGAUUAAAUGUAAGCAAGGUAAGGAAAAUAUCAUUGCGGAUGCUCUGUCGUGAAGGUAUGUUCUUUUAAACCAUUUGGAAGUUAAAUUGCUUGGUUUUGGUUAUUUGAAGGAUUCAUAUGCUGAUAAUUCUGAUUUUGGAGAAAUUUACAAGUUAUGUGUGCAAGGUGCGUAUAAUAGGUACUAUCAGUAAGAUAGAUUCCUUUUUUGAGAAAACAAAUUGUGCAUAACCCAAGGAUCAACUAGAAACAUGUUGGUUCAUGAAGCGCACAGUGGGGGUUUAAUGGGUCAUUUCAGUAUUGGCAAAACUUUGGCCGUUCUUCAAGAAAACUUCUAUUCGCCAAAAAUGAAACGAGAUGUGGCUAAAGUAUGCGAGCGCUGUUUUGCUUGCAAAAAGGCGAAAUCAAAGGUCCAGCCACAUGGACUUUAUACUUCGUUACCGAUCCCAGAAGCACCAUGGAUGGAUAUUUCUAUGGAUUUCGUUCUAGGUCUUCCUAGAACAAAGAACAGGAAAGACUCUAUAUUUGUUGUAGUUGAUAGCUUUUCAAAAAUGGCUCAUUUCAUUGCGUGUAACAAAACUGACGAUGCUCUAAAUGUUGCCAAUCUAUUUUUUAGAGAGAUCAUAUGAUUACAUGGUGUUCUGAAGACCAUCUUUUUGGACUGAAACACCAAGUUCCUUAGCCAUUUUUGGAGAACCUUAUAGGGCAAGCUUGGCACCAAACUAUUAUUUUCAACAACAAGCCAUCCCCAAACCGAUGGCCAAAUGGAGGUCAUUAAUCGUGUUUUGUCAACACUUUUGCGGGCAAUUAUUCAAAAGAAUCUAAAAACUUGAGAUGAGUGUUUACCCCACUUUGAAUUCGCAUAAAAUUGAUCGGUACACUCGGCUACUAAGUAUUCACCAUUUGAGGUAGUCUAUGGUUUUAAUCCAUUAACUUUGUUGGGUUUGUUGCCCUUACCCUCUGAUCAAUUGAUGCAUGUAGAUGGAAAGAAAAAUGCAUAAUUUGUAAAAAAAUUGCAUCAGCGAGUUAGGGAUAAUAUUGAAAGAAAAACCGAGCAAUAUGCUCGUAAAGUCAAUAAGGGAUGUAAACGAGUGACGUUUGAACCCAGUGACUGGGUUUGGAUUCACAUGCAUAAGGAGAUAUUUCUAGAUCAAAGAUGAUCCAAACUUUUGUGGAGAGGAGACGGUCCUUUUCAAAUCUUGGAAAGGAUUAACGAUAAUGCCUAUAAGUUAGACUUACCUGGUGAGCAUAGAGUUAGUGCUACUUUUAAUGUUGCUGAUUUAUCCCCCUUUGAUGUAGGUGACGUGAUACGUGAUAUUCGCGACAAGUUUUAAAAAUUUAUAAUUAAUCGUUCUUGAAACUAACUAUUAUCACGAUGAAGGCAAGUGUACCUAUCGAACAGUAGUAUAGCUUUAGCAAGACCGGAUUGUCAAACUCAAAGGAACCAAGAGUACUAGUAAUUACUUUCUUUUUAUUAUCUAACCUAAAAAUUAAAGGAUUUGUUUAUCUAAACUAAUGAACUAAACUAAGGGUGCACAGAUAGAAAAUUGGGAAAAACUUUUGGGAAAACUCGAUUGAUUAAGACAAUACCCAAGGAAAAAUCCACCUAGACUUCACUUGUUAUUUGACUCUAAAUCAGACAAUUUAUUCAUUUGACUUGAUCCGUAGAAAUCCCUAAGUUAUAUUAUUAUCUCUCUCGAGACUAAUAAUGUCUAACCCUAGGUUGAUUAAUGUAACACCCCUAUCCCGUAACCAUCGCCGGAAUAGGACGAGGCGUUAACAGAAUUUAGGAAUCGGAUCAGAACAGUAAAAUUUUGAACCUUUUCUUAAAUAAAAGAUCAUUUAUUUAUAUAACUAAUAGACACAAACAAAGAUCGAAUUUAAAACUUAUAAAAGUAAACUUCCAUAAGAUGCCAUAUUCGCAUGGCUUAUAUACAAUAGUCAAAAUAUCAUUCUACUUAUAGUUUAUCCUAUACAUGCCAUAAGCUAAGUCCAAAUCACAUGAUUACUACAAUAGUAGAUAGCGUGACGAAGUACUGACGAUCCCCGAGCUAAUAGUAAGAGUCAACGAUCUACAAAAAUAAAAAGAGAAACAUAACAUUCAAAGUAAGCUUUCAUAAGCUUAGUAAGUCUUAAGCAAUUUAAACAGUUGAACUUAAAAACAAACCAAAUGUUCGAAAUCACAUAACACUUUCUGAGUACAAUACUAUUUGGCUGAUUAUGCACAAACACAUAUCAUUUUACUCCGUUUAUACUCAAACUCAUAUAAACAUAGUAUUUACAAGCUUCCAGAUUAACUUUAAUUUUUUCAAAUUUCACUAGUGUAUCAUUUCUUACCCACACUUACUUUCAAAAUUCAUAGUUAAAUGGCAUAUCGAAAAUUACAUUGUAACUUUGCAUAAUAACUGAAUACACACAUAUACAAACAUACAUAUGAAUUUACAACAUCUUUUCAUAUGUUACUCAUUACACAUUCUUAAUUCCCGUCAGAUCAAUCUCACAUAUAAUAUAUAUAUCACAUACCUGAAUCACUUAAUGUGUAAUACGAGUUCAAUUUAUCAUCAUAGCGUAGGAUCUCGUAGUCAUAUACUUUAUCAAAUUCACUAACACUUGGCUGCGAGGUAUAAAACUCGAACAUAACACCAGCAUGAAGCCUACGGGACUUUAAACUCAGAUAUAAUACCAGCACUAGGCCUGCGGGAUUUAACCCGGAUACACAUCAAAUAUCAUGCAUAUUUAAUCAUAUAUUAACACAUCUCAUUCAACAUAUCACAUUAGUAGUCAUUUGCUACAAUCGGAUAUAAGCUUCAUAUGAACACCAUCAUUCAAACUUAACCCAUAGUAACCAUUCGACUAAAAGUCAUAUACAUAAAUUAUUUAUCGCACAACUUAAUUCAAGUAGAACCAAAAGGUCACAAUUCAUCUAAUAUAUACAUAUUGCUCACUGAUUCGCACACAACCUUUCAAAUUAGCAAUUAUAAGAUGGUUCCGCACAUAGCCCAUCCUUAUCGAUAAUUUACGAUGGUUUUACCCUUACUCACAUAUACAACAUUUUUACCUAUGCUUCUCAAUUCACAUUCAUGAUUCAAUUCCAAUCAAUUUAACAUGCAUAAGUACAUAUCGCAUACUUGGCCAACUUAAUGUAUUGAAUGAAUUCGAUUGUCAAUUUAACAAAAGGUCUUAUAGUUGAACCUAAACAUGAAACCAUUUCUUAUAGGUUCGAUUCACAUCAACCAUCAUUUUCAUUUAAUUCACAUGUACAUAAUUAGGUUGUUCGUACCUGAAUAAUUUACUUUACGGAACAAAUCCAUAUAUCGUAUUAGCCCAUAGUCUUAUAACACCAUACUUUUAAUAGUUCACCUCAUCGAAGUUCACAAUUAAUCACUUUAGUGCCAAGCCAUAUUCGGUUACCACAAAGGACUAAUAAUAAUAAUUUUAUACACAUCAUGGUUUCCUUUAGAUAUUUAAUAAUCACAAAUCGUGAUAUCUUUACCAACACAUAUACGACAUAGUUUAUUCAUUGUAACACUCAUUUAGUGCAUCAAAUUUCCAAGUCCAAUUCAACUGAAGCAUAAUAGCCAUAAUCGGCUUAUAGCCUUAAAUCAUUACAUAUUCGGCACAUUAAAUUUAGAUUCUCUUUGCCAUAUUAAUUUAACUCUUAGGCAUAUAAAAAGGAAUCAAGCUUAAACACUUAAGAACUUACCUCGAAUGUUACCGAACGAUUACAACGGCUAUUCGAUUACUUUCUCUUUUCCCUUAUCCGAAUUUUCCCCUCUAUGCUCUUGAGCUUAAAUUCAACAAUUUUAAACUUAGUCAUUAUUCGACUAUUCAAGCAUCACUUUCAGAAUAUAUAAUAUAUAUAUUCGACUUUCACACAUACAGAUCAUAGUAAGCUUAUAAGAAAUCAAUAAGCAACUCAUUAACAAAUUUUUGUUAAUGUUUACCACAUAAUCAUAAUUUCACUACAAGCUGUCUUCCUGAGCAACAGUCACUAAAUCAUUUAUAACUGGAGCUACGAAACUCCAAAUCAAUUUCCGUUAAUUUUCCAUGAAAAUAGACUCAUAUAUCUUCUAUGCAUAAAAUUUUCAAAAUUUUUGGUUUUUCCAAUCAAUACCAGAUUUUUCUUAAAGUUUCCCCUAUUUCACUAUUUGACUAAUCUGACCACUCUUCACUACGAAUCAAAAUUCUCAUUGUACAAAAUUCAAAAUAUGUUCUAGUUGAUUUCAUUUGAAACUAGAAUCAUUAAGGAAUCUGAGCAUAUAAACUUUAUCUUAUAACCAUUUGUGUACAAAUUAUAAUGAUUUUCUAAAUAAAAGGAAUAGGGGACCCCGAAGUCAUUUGACUCUAUCCCACACCACUUCAAAUAUCUCAUUAUCAGAAAUUCAUUUGCUUUCACGGUUUCUUUUAUAAGAAACUAGGCUCAUUAAGAUUUAAUUACAUAAUUUAUUCAGCUUCUAAAUCAUCUCCCACAAUUUAUGGUGAUUUUCCAAAAUCACAUUACUGCUGCUAUCCCAAGCAGAUUUAUUACCAAUUCACUCUUUCACACAUACCUUGCAUUCACAUUAUUUAAACAUGUAUAUCACGAAUCAAUUUCAUCACAUAUCUAUACUUUCACUUACCCAUAAUCCUAAUACAAUACAUCAUGCUCAAUUAUACCUUAACUUAUCCAUUCCUUUCAUUUAAACAACCCACAUAACUUAUUCAUUCAUGAACACAUUCGGCACUAUACAUCUUUACAAAUAUUUCUUGGCACCUUUAUCAUAUUUUAACAAUCGGCAUAACCGUGUUACCAAUCUAAUACAUCAAAAUUUACUUAUCCAGGACUACAUUCAGCAUAUAUAUAUUCACAUAAACACAAUAGCCGAACACUUCAUGAAGUUACCGAGACUCAUCAUUUGCUAUUUCACACACACUCACAUCCAAUCCUUUUUAUUAAACACUCAAAAUCAACCAUCUUCAUGCCUUAUCACAAAAAUAUCAAAACACCGACCAAGACACUCUACAACCCAUAGCCGAAUGCAUCACUUCAAACCAAUAACAAAAAUUGAGUCAUGGGCUAUGAAAGGAGCUUAGCAAUUAACUCAAUUUCACAUAAAUUAUCAAGAAAUAAAAUUAAACAUACCUUCAAUUAGAAUCACCAAGGCCAAAUAUCAAAGAGCCUUUUUUUUCUACCUUAGAUUCUGAGUUUUCUCCUUGGCCGAAAUCCUCAAAAUAUCUUUCCUCUUUCUUUUUCCCACAUUCGGCAAGAACAGGCAAGGAUGUUUGGUCCCUUUUUCUUUUCUUUUUUUUUUAUUCAUUCACCUUACCCAUUAACUAUUAUAAUAUUAAUAUGUAAGGCAUAUAUGGCUAUUCCACCAUCAACAUCGCCGGCCACUUACUUAAAAAUGGGGAAUUUGACAUGCAAAUCCCCAUAUUUUAAGCCAUGCAAUAUUUGACCACUACACUUCAACCUAUCAGAAUUUCAAUAUUUUUCACAUAAGUCCUUUUUAAUUAAUUUCACAUUUAAAUAACUAAAUCAAAGCAUGAAAUUUUCACACAUACACUUUCACAUGUAAUAAUCACAGAAUAUAACAUUUAAUUAUUUUUGUGACUCAAUUUUGUGGUCCCGAAACCACUUCCCGACUAGGGUCAAAUUAGGACUGUCAUAACUCUCCCCCCUUAGGGAUUUUCGUCCCCGAAAAUCUUAGUAGCGACUAGGUUAGGAUAACGUCCUCUUAUUGAAUUAUGUCCAUAUAAACAUUAGCUCAUCAAUAAUAAUUGUAAUUCAUUACUGCUUUCACAUCGAUCUAUAAAAUCACUUUCUUAUCUUAAAACAAAUACAUAAACAUUUCUACAAAUAUACACAUACAUCUCAUUUUCUUGAUUUCAUAAGCAAUAAUCACUUAAUUGAAUUUAUACUUGCAUUUCAAACACAUAUAAAUCACAUAUUAACAUGUAUAAUACAUAACAUCAACUCACAUAUUCAUAACCCACAUUUUCAUUCAUGUAUAAGCUGUAACCUGGCCGAAAGUAUACAUAUUCUCAAACAUCCUAAUGAAUAUCCUUUAAAACUUUAUCACAUCUCAAUAUUCAACUUAACUCAUUUCCAAAAGAAAAGUCAACUUCCACGUACCUGGACAUUUAGUUCAUUUAGCACAUUCAAUCAUAGUUAACGUUACCCGUAUACAGUCGAAUAGACAUAAAGCCUAAUAUAAUACACUGGCAUGAGAUUUAUUCUAGCGCAUAACUCGUAUAUCCAAAAUUAUCGGCAUUCAUCAAAAAUUCUUACAAACUUUCGAAUGUCGAAACUUAAUCAAAAUAAUUUCUUGAAUAAGAUUAACAAAAUAGUGUCCAUUCAGCAAUAGCACAUAUAACUUCAUAUACCGAGAAUCUCAUAGACUAAAUCCAUAACACAUUUUCAAUUAAGCACUUAAGUGUACAUAUAACAUAAAUCCAUUCCUUAACAACAUAUCCACCACUUUUUUUUUCGUAUCCACUUGUAACAAAAUUACAGCCGAAACAAUAAUCAAUCAUCAAUUUAUAUCUAUUAAUCCCUAAUUCAAACUCAAAUACCGAAUAUCAGUAUCUAAUUAAAAUUCAACAUCUAACUUCAAUUCUACUUCCUAACAUUUGUCAAUUUAAAGAGCGUCGUACUUGUCUGAGUAUGUCGUUUACUUUAAGCCAUAGUCCAACCAUGGUCUUACAUGUUAUCACAUAUCGAGUCGAUGCCAUGUCCUAGACAUGGUCUUACACAACAUCUCAAAUCAAUGCCUUCGUCCCAGACGAGGUCUUACAUGAAUCUCAUCUCACACACUUAGUGCCCACUAACCGAUCUCGCACACAUAGUGCUCGGUUAAAGGAAUUUGCACACACAGUGCCUCUAAUCAUUCGCACACAUAAUGCCCAUAUUCAUUCGUUAUUACACAUUGAAAUGACUUAACCAAGUCUAUAAAACAUCAUAUAUGUACACUUUAAACGUAUUCUUUUAUUUAACUUUGAAUUCAUAUAGUAAUGAACACUUAAACCUUGCUCGAAUUACCGGCAUUAAGCCUGCUAGGCACGAAGACCCGAAUACACAUCACCGAGUUUCAUGCAUAUUUAUUCACAUUUUAAUACAUUUCAUAUAGCAUAUCAUAUUUGUAAUUCACUUACUUCGUUUCAAUAUAUACAUAUCAUAUACAACUUGACAUUAUAUCAUAGAUAUCUUUUACAUGUAGGCUCAUUCCAAAUACAUUAUUUUCUCUUCAAAGUUCUCAUUCACAUAUUUAAAACAUAACAUCAUAUAUAACAUUAACAAAGCAUAAACUACACAGCAAUUCCAUCUCUAAUAGAUGACAUAUAUAUGUAUAUAUUUCGCCCAUUUACAUAAAAUCCUGAACCAAAAUAUAACUUCUCAUGCAUACAAUAUACAUCACUAUUAUCCUAAUAUACGUUUCCAUAUUUAUUUCAUAACACAUUCAGCAAAAUUACUUUGCAUUUCAAUACUUCAAAUGUAUAUCAUACUUCUAUUCAUACAUUUCUCAAUUUUGACAGAUCAUAAGCAUGUUUCAAUCCUCUCAAUACCAUCUGCUACAGCUUGAUCGGGAUCAGAAUUCAUUAUAUUACGAAAAACACAUUUUAACUGUCAGAAAUCAUCACACUAUCAUUUUAUCACAAUAUGCAUGUAUAGCUAGACUCACACGUGCUACGUUAGUCCUAGAAUCGACUAAACUGUAGCUCUGAUACCAAUAAAAAUGUAACACCCCUAUCCCGUAACCAUCGCCGGAAUAGGACGAGGCGUUAACAGAAUUUAGGAAUCGGAUCAGAACAGUAAAAUUUUGAACCUUUUCUUAAAUAAAAGAUCAUUUAUUUAUAUAACUAAUAGACACAAACAAAGAUCGAAUUUAAAACUUAUAAAAGUAAACUUCCAUAAGAUGCCAUAUUCGCAUGGCUUAUAUACAAUAGUCAAAAUAUCAUUCCACUUAUAGUUUAUCCUAUACAUGCCAUAAGCUAAGUCCAAAUCACAUGAUUACUACAAUAGUAGAUAGCGUGACGAAGUACUGACGAUCCCCGAGCUAAUAGUAAGAGUCAACGAUCUACAAAAAUAAACAGAGAAACAUAACAUUCAAAGUAAGCUUUCAUAAGCUUAGUAAGUCUUAAGCAAUUUAAACAGUUGAACUUAAAAACAAACCAAAUGUUCGAAAUCACAUAACACUUUCUGAGUACAAUACUAUUUGGCUGAUUAUUCACAAACACAUAUCAUUUUACUCCGUUUAUACUCAAACUCAUAUAAAUAUAGUAUUUACAAGCUUCCGGAUUAACUUUAAUUCUUUCAAAUUUCACUAGUGUAUCAUUUCUUACCUACACUUACUUUCAAAAUUCAUAGUUAAAUGGCAUAUCGAAAAUUACCUUGUAACUUUGCAUAAUAACUGAAUACACACAUAUACAAAUAUACAUAUGAAUUUACAACAUCUUUUCAUAUGUUACUCAUUACACAUUCUUAAUUCCUGUCAGAUCAAUCUCACAUAUAAUAUAUAUAUCACAUACCUGAAUCACUUAAUGUGCAAUACGAGUUCAAUUUAUCAUCAUAGCGUAGGAUCUCGUAGUCAUAUACUUUAUCAAAUUCACUAACACUUGGCCUGCGAGGUAUAAAACUCGAACAUAACACCAGCACGAAGCCUACGGGACUUUAAACUCAGAUAUAAUACCAGCACUAGGCCUGCGAGAUUUAACCCGGAUACACAUCAAAUAUCAUGCAUAUUUAAUCAUAUAUUAACACAUCUCAUUCAACAUAUCACAUUAGUAGUCAUUUGCUACAAUCGGAUAUAAGCUUCAUAUGAACACCAUCAUUUACAUUUCGGUUCAAAAGUCAUACAUAAAUAUCACAUAUCCAUUUCACCAUUCAAACUUAACCCAUAGUAACCAUUCGACUAAAAGUCAUAUACAAAAAUUAUUUAUCGCACAACUUAAUUCAAGUAGAACCAAAAGGUCACAAUUCAUCUAAUAUAUACAUAUUGCUCACUGAUUCGCACACAACCUUUCAAAUUAGCAAUUAUAAGAUGGUUCCGCACAUAGCCCAUCCUUAUCGAUAAUUUACGAUGGUUUUACCCUUACUCACAUAUACAACAUUUUUACCUAUGCUUCUCAAUUCACAUUCAUGAUUCAAUUCCAAUCAAUUUAACAUGCAUAAGUACAUAUCGCAUACUUGGCCAACUUAAUGUAUUGAAUGAAUUCGAUUGUCGAUUUAACACAAGGUCUCAUAGUUGAACCUAAACAUGAAACCAUUUCUUAUAGGUUCGAUUCACAUCAAUCAUCAUUUUCAUUUAAUUCAUAUGUACAUAAUUAGGUUGUUCAUACCUGAAUAAUUUACUUUACGGAACGAAUCCACAUAUCGUAUUAGCCCAUAGUCUUAUAACACCAUACUUUUAAUAGUUCACCUCAUCGAAGUUCACAAUUAAUCACUUUAGUGCCAAGCCAUAUUCGGCUACCACAAAGGACUAAUAAUAAUAAUUUUAUACACAUCAUGGUUUCCUUUAGAUAUUUAAUAAUCACAAAUCGUGAUAUCUCUACCAACACAUAUACGGCAUAGUUUAUUCAUUGUAACACUCAUUUAGUGCAUCAAAUUUCCAAGUCCAAUUCAACUUAAGCAUAAUAGCCAUAAUCGGCUUAUAGCCUUAAAUCAUUACAUAUUCGGCACAUUAAAUUUAGAUUCUCUUUGCCAUAUUAAUUUAACUCUUAGGCAUAUAAAAAUGAAUCAAGCUUAAACACUUAAGAACUUACCUCGAAUGUUACCGAACGAUUACAACGGCUAUUCGAUUACUUUCUCUUUUCCCUUAUCCGAAUUUUCCCCUCUAUGCUCUUGAGCUUAAAUUCAACAAUUUUAAACUUAGUCAUUAUUCGACUAUUCAAGCAUCACUUUCAGAAUAUAUAAUAUAUAUACAUUCAAUUUUCACACAUACAGAUCAUAGUAAGCUUAUAAGAAAUCAAUAAGCAACUCAUUAACAAUUUUUUGUCAAUGUUUACCACAUAAUCAUGAUUUCACUGCAAGCUGUCUUCCUGAGCAACAGUCACUAAAUCAUUUAUAACUGGAGCUACGAAACUCCAAAUCAAUUUCCGUUAAUUUUCCAUGAAAAUAGACUCAUAUAUCUUCUAUGCAUAAAAUUUUCAGAAUUUUUGGUUUUUCCAAUCAAUACCAGAUUUCUCUUGAAUUUUCCCCUGUUUCACUAUUUGACUAAUCUGACCACUCUUCACUACGAAUCAAAAUUCUCAUUGUACAAAAUUCAAAAUAUGUUCUCGUUGAUUUCAUUUGAAACUAGAAUCAUAAAGGAGUCUAAGCAUAUAAACUUUAUCUUAUAACCAUUUUUUUACAAAUUAUAAUGAUUUUCUAAAUAAAAGGAACAGGGGACCCUGAAGUCAUUUGACUCUAUCCCACACCACUUCAAAUAUCUCAUUAUCAGAAAUUCAUUUGCUUUCACGGUUUCUUUUAUAAGAAACUAGGCUCAUUAAGCUUUAAUUACAUAAUUUAUUCAGCUUCUAAAUCAUCUCCCACAAUUUAUGGUGAUUUUCCAAAAUCACAUUACUGCUGCUGUCCCAAGCAGAUUUAUUACCAAUUCACUCUUUCACACAUACCUUGCAUUCACAUUAUUUAAACAUGUAUAUCACGAAUCAAUUUCAUCACAUAUCUAUACUUUCACUUACCCAUAAUCUCAAUACAAUACAUCAUGCUCAAUUAUACCUUAACUUAUCCAUUCCUUUCAUUUAAACAACCCACAUAACUUAUUCAUUCAUGAACACAUUCGGCACUAUACAUCUUUACAAAUAUUUCUUGGCACCUUUAUCAUAUUUUCACAAUCGGCAUAACCGUGUUACCAAUCUAAUACAUCAAAAUUUACUUAUCCAGGACUACAUUCAGCAUAUAUAUAUUCACAUAAACACAAUAGCCGAACACUUCAUGAAGUUACCGAGACUCAUCAUUUGCUAUUUCACACACACUCACAUCCAAUCCUUUUUAUUAAACACUCAAAAUUAACCAUCUUCAUGCCUUAUCACAAAAAUAUCAAAACACCGACCAAGACACUCUACAACCCAUAGCCGAAUGCAUCACUUCAAACCAAUAACAAAAAUUGAGUCAUGGGCUAUGAAAGGAGCUUAGCAAUUAACUCAAUUUUACAUAAAUUAUCAAGAAAUAAAAUUAAACAUACCUUCAAUUAAACAUACCUUAGAUUCUGAGUUUUCUCCUUGGCCGAAAUCCUCAAAAUAUCUUUCCUCUUUCUUUUUCCCACAUUCGGCAAGAACAGGCAAGGAUGUUUGGUCCCUUUUUCUUUUCUUUUUUUUUAUUCAUUCACCUUACCCAUUAACUAUUAUAAUAUUAAUAUGUAAGGCAUAUAUGGCUAUUCCACCAUCAACAUGGCCGACCACUUACUUAAAAAUGGGGAAUUUGACAUGCAAAUCCCCAUAUAUUAAGCUAUGCAAUAUUUGACCACUAUACUUCAACCUAUCACAAUUUCAAUAUUUUUCACAUAAGUCCUUUUUAAUUAAUUUCACAUUUAAAUAACAAAAUCAAAGCAUGAAAUUUUCACACAUACACUUUCACAUGUAAUAAUCACAGAAUAUAACAUUUAAUUAUUUUUGUGACUCAAUUUUGUGGUCCCGAAACCACUUCCCGACUAGGGUCAAAUUAGGACUGUCACAACUAAUUGAAAUCUCUUUCUAAUUAACACCCUAGUGUUGCAUUAACUAGAUCUAUGGACUCCCUUAUUAAGUUUCACCCUAAUCCGGCAAAAUAUUGUCACCCUAUCUCUAGGCGUGCAAUAACUUCGCUUAAUUACGACAAAUUUACUUUUAAACAGAGACUUUUGGUCCUUUUGAAUAAGAGCAUUAACUUGAUUCAAUAUCCUGGAAUAUUAAAACAAGAAUUAAGUAUACAUAAUUAAGAAUAAGUUAAAUAUUUAUCAUACAAUUCAGAUAAUAAUAACAAGAUCUGUCUUAGGUUUCAUUCCCCUUAGGUAUUUAGGGGGUUUAGUUCAUAAUUAUGAAAGAAAACAUCUCAAAUGAAUAAAGAUAACAAAACAUAAAGAAAACCCAAACUCCUGGAGGAAAUUGAAGUGAGAUCUUCAGUCUUGACAAUGAAUCCGGAAUCUGAGAUGGAUCAAUUGGCUUUCCUUGAGUAAUUCCUUACCUCCUCCUUUGUGUGUCUCCUCUAAGUGCCUCUUCCGGUUUUUAAAUAGGCUUUAGAAUGCCUCAGAGCCCUUAAAAGUGGCCUUUUCCGAAUAGGACUAUACUUGGGCUCGACAGGGACACGCUCGUGUGUGAUUGCUUCAGACCGUGGUCAGGGCUGUUAAAUGGGCACGGGCGUGUGGUCCACCCGUGUGAGGAAGUCCAGGCCGUGUUGAUUUCCCAUGUUAGCCCGUUUUCUCUAUUUUUGGCCCGUUUCUCGCUCUUUUUACUCUUCUAUGCUCACCUAAGUAUAAAACAUGAAAUUAAAGGAUUAGGAGCAUCGAAUUCACCAAAUCUAAGGAGAAAUUAUCCAUAAAUGUGCUAAGCAUGGGAUAAAAAUAUGUAUAAAUUACAGUUUAUCAUGACGAUUUGGGGACAAAUCGCCUCGAAGAGAGGGGAAUGAUGCGACCAUAACUCUGAAAGUUACCAUCGAACCCAUUGGGCUGCCACAAAGUCCUAUAACUCAGUUUCGAGCUAAAAGGUUUCAAGAUGCAUUAGCAAGCUAUGUUGAUCGAGCUUGGGGAGAGCAAAUAGCCGAAUCCAUUGAACAUGCUUGGAUCAACUCAAUAGGUGUCCCUUGCAAUUUAUUACAAGCUGAAUUUUACUUUUAAUUGAACUCAUCUUAGUUAUUAAUUGAGUUGCUAGAAUAAAUGCUUAUCUUAGUUAAUUUAGUUGUUGGAAUAAUUUAUUGUUACAUAUGUUUAAUGUGUUUAAUGUGUGAUUAAUGUGUUUAAUAUGUUUAAUGUGUUUUAAUGUGUUUGUUAAAUGAAUGCUUAUAGGUGACUAUUUAGCUGGAAUCGAUUACAAACAAGGAGCUGUUACAAAGUGUUAAAUGCGACUAUUUAGUUGGAAUCAGUUAUAUACAAGGGGCUGUUACAAUAUUUAAAGAGGAGCAUUUUUCACCAUUUAAAUUCAACAGCCUAUUCCUCUUCUCCAAGGAGCUGUUUAAGAAUAGCAAAGGACAAAGGAGUGAUUACACAUUCCAUAACCGAUUGCCUCUUAAUGAUCAUACCAUGGUCUGUUUGAGUGCCCAAAAUGUUAUCCAUAUUGCUGGUGUCUAUUCAAUUGCUCAAGUUUUCAAGUUCAAUUAAAUCAUGUUGAUAGUUGAUGUUACUUAGUCCUAGAGAUUUUAAGAGUUUGUGCUUAGUGAUUAAGUUUCAUUUCAGCUCAUAACUGCUCAUUAAAGCUGAAUUCAAGUGACUUAUUGGCUAGGUCCCUUGUAGCACUAUAAAUAUUUUUUAAUCAGCUUGUUUAGAGAACUUUUUGCUGAAUUUAUGUUAAAUUUGAAACUUGUUGAGAUUUCCAAUUUUCUUUGUUCUUUCGGGACUGAAUUGACUUAUCAAGUAUUCUUGUGGCAUCAAUUUGUUCUUUGUUAAACUGAACUUAUUACCUUUGGUGUGGCAUUCAUAUACCUUAGGUUCCUAUCACAUUUGAUAGCGGGUCAAGCUUUUGUGCUAUUUUCCCUAAAUCGAAUUCACCUAAGACCUAUUUUGAGUUUCGGGUCAACAAUCACAUUAUUGUUGGUUCAUUCUCAAGCCUUAAUCGAAUUACCUAUCUUUGCUUAACCAUUUCACAACCUUGUUUUAAGCCUAUUUCUUUAUUCUCAUCAGUCUAUUUUGAUUAAACUUAAUUCAUUUUGAAAACGAUUCAACUCUUACUCAAAUUCACUAUUGGGCAACAAAUACGACUCGAGACAUCUACAACUGAGUUCGUAUCACUCAACAAAUCAACAUUUGAUAUAUCUAAUACUUGAUGAUAUAUAAAACUAGAAUAUAUACAAAUGAUUGACACUCUAAGUACAUGCCACAAAUUACAUAUAUGCUAAUUUCAUACUCUCAAAAGACUUGUUGAUAGUGUAAUGAUUUGAUGGUUGAACUUAGCUUCGCGAACCCAAAAUGAAAUCUACACGAAAAGACAACGGCGCGAAAAAAUAAUUUCUCAGAUGGAAAUCACUAUAUUUACCUUACCUCAAGGUGAGAAAAUCAAGUACAUAACUCAACAUUUAAAACAUAACGAGGAAAAGUGAUAACAUGACAAAGUUAAAGAUAUAGUGAACAAAUCUGAGCAUAAAGGAAUUUAUGUCAUGUUAACAUCAUAGUCAACCAAGUCUUAGCUUUUUCAUAUUAACAUCAUGCCACUAAGUACAUAAUCAUAACUUAUAAUCAAUUAAAAAUGAUAAUAAAUUUGUGAUGACCUCAAUUUCUACUAGUUCAAAAUUUCAACAUACAUAAAAAAAGUUUUCAUUCUUAUUGACAUUCAACAUUCAGAGUUGUAGAUUUUAGCCCAUUGUAACUUUAGCAAAAUAAGGCUCAGACACACAAGAAUUUACCAAUCACACUAGAUAAAUAUUACACUAUAGCUGCAUUCCAAGUAGACACAUCGAGAGCAUUGCACUAAACAUGCAUUCAACAUAACACACUAGAGAUCUCUUAAGAGAAUAAGUCUAAUGGUCCAUACAAUGUGCCAACCCAUGGAAACAAAAACAAAGCUCCAACUCCACACAAAACCUAUACAAAAGUGUGCAACAAACCCUAAUUGGCAUGUCAAUCGUAUCUUUACUUUUCUACCAAGUUUAAUGAUUAAAGGUUUAUAACCAAUUACUAAUAGAGUAGAGAAUUUUAUAAUCUUUCUUACUCUGAACACACAAACCCUAGAUAAUUGGGUGGUAAAGAUGAUAAAAAAAGGACUUAAAUACGAUUUUAUAGACUAAAUUUAAAAAAAUAAUAAUAAAAGAAAAUGGUGAAGAUUUAAAGAAAUUUGUAAUGCCCCAAACCCAUCUCCGUCGUCGGAUGAGGGUCAUGAGUAUUACAAUAAAAUUUUAAACAUUUUAACAUUACACGGAAACAAUCAUUCAAAUAUAUUUAUAAAUAAAAAAAUCACAUUCUAAUUAUAAUAAACGUGCACUUACGGGUCCCUAAAAAUAGUUUGGGAACAUUCUGGGGUCAAUUUGAAAUAAAAUAAAAAGUUUAGGAAAAAGUUGAAAAUUUUUAAUUUAGGGGGCACACGACCGUGUAGCCAGGUCAUGUGUCACAGUCUAGACCUUGUGGACAUUUGAAGUCCAGACACAGGCUGUGUUCCAGCCUAUGUGUGCAUUCGAUGUUAGAUCACAUGACCGUGUUGCAGGCCGUGUGCCAGAUUGUGUUCAAAAUUGUUUUGGAAUACAAGGCCAUGUCUCAGGCCGAGUGUGUAACAGCUCGUUUUCAGUAAAAUUGAAACAGUGGUUUCUGGACCAUAAAUUUGAUGUGAAAAUAUUUAUUUUAUUAUUAUUUUAAUGUCUAUAGCAUGAUAGUAGAGUCAUAAGAAAAUUUCGUUAAGAAAUGUUAUCGUUUGCAUACUUAAUUUGAUAAAAAUGACUAAAUCGCCUAGAGUACAAAAGUUGAGUUCUAGUAGCUAAAGGUAUUUAAUAGCUAUAGAACAUUAGUGUAUGAGUCCUUAAGUUGAAAAUAGACCAUUAAUUAGAGUAGUGGACAAGUUUGGACAUCAUUAAUGUGACUAAGUAAGGUUAUAUAAGUAAUUUAAUAAUUAAAUAAUUAAAAUAGGUAAUUCAUUUGUUCAUCUUCUUCUAGCCGAAAUUCUAAGGAAGAAACUUCACCAUUUUUAAGCUUCAACAUUCGACCAACUCUUCCUAGUGCAUGUAAGUACAUUUUUGUUCGAUUUUUAAUGCUUUCUAUGUUUUUGGAGUCGUUGUAGCUUAAUCUAGCUAGCCCAGGGACUAAUUUGUGAAAAUAUUAAAGUGUUAGGGUUUUACCAUUGAUGAAUGUGUAUGUGUUUUGAUGUUUGAUGAUAGAAAAUGAAUGGUUGUUGUUAGAUAAACAAGUUUUGUAAAGUGAUUUUGGUUGAAAAUGUCAAAUAGGAAUUUAUUUAUAAAAUGUGAAAAUUAGGUGGUGAAAUGUGUGAAAUAAUGAAAUGUGUGGGCUGCUAUGAACAUAUAUAGAAUUUGGUUAGCAUGGAUAUGGAUUAAAUUGCAUAAAUUUGCAUUUUUAUGAGCUAAGGACUAAAUUGUAAACAAGUCAAAAGUGUAGGGGCAAAAUGAUAAUUUUUCCAUAACAUGAAAUUGGAUUGAAUUGAAUAGAAUAAAUAUUAAAAUGGUUAAAUUUGAUUAUAUAGAUCAGGAAAAGCCAAGUUCGAAAUUAGAUCGAAGGAAAGAUAAAGUAACGGAUUGAUAAGUCGAUUUUCUCCGUAUUAAUUCGAGGUAAGUUCGUAUGUUAAUAAAUAUUAAAGUAAUUGUGUUUUUAAUUCUUUAUUAUUACAUUCUUGAUGAAUACAACUUCAUGGAAAUAUUCGACGAAGAUUCGGUGACGUAUGAAAUCCCAGUUAAACCUUAGGAAUAGAUAAGAUACAAAUGACAUGUCAUUAGUGGUUAUCGUGUUUUGGGUGCUAGUCCCAUACAUUCUACCAAUGGCUGAGUUUUUCGACAUGUAUUGUAGUUACUCGUCAGCUUGUGUGAGCAACACCGUGUAGCUACGUCUUGACCGUCAGCUUGUGUGAGCAGACCUAAUGAUAGCUCAAGAGUAAGCAUCUAAAUGAGAUAUGAGAUAGAGAUGGUUUUGACCAUGUACUGGCACUUAGUGUGUGAGAUACCCAAGUAUCCGAUAUUGUUCCAAAUGGUUCAAUGGGCACAGUGAUGUUACGAGAGUAUGUGAAUUCAAUAUGAACCAGUACAGGUAUGUACGUGAAUCAUGUGAGAAUUGAAUCUAUGAGAUUUUUGAUUUCAUGCUUAAUUUUGUGGAUGAAUAUGUGUUAGGCUUGUGGAUCAGAUUGAGUUGUAUUAUGCUAUGUUUAAUUACUUAAUAAGCUUAACUACUUACUCCAUUUUAAUUUCCGUGUUUUUAGUGAUUCGGAAGCUCGCUCAUUUUGGAAGUUGUCAGAGAUCACGUCGCACUAUCAAACUCUCAUUUUGGUACUUUGAAUUUUGUAUAUUUUGGGUUAAAUGGCAUGUAUAGGUGUUUUGGCUAAUGUGGCCUAUAUGUCUCAUGUUGUUUUGGUUAUGUGUUUAACCAUGUGAUUUGGCUUAUUUUGGUAUACUUGGUUAUGUAAAUAUGUAUAAAUGAUCUUUUGGUAUGUGGUGUAUAGUUGCUUGGUGAAUGCCUUAAUUGUGUAUUGGUAUUUUGAGUACCAAAUGAUUGAAUUUUAGAUGUGGUAUGCAUGUUGAAUUGGCACAAAGUCUAAUAAGUGAGUUUGACCAUUUAGGUAUACUUUGGAGGCAUAUUUGGUAUGUUGUAAAGUGAUCUUAUAUGUGCUUAUGUAUAUCAUGUUGUACGUGUGGAUAGUACAUGAUAUAGGUUUGAGGUUGGUUGGUUUUAAGUGCCUAUUUAGGCUAUGGUUGUAUAUGCAUUGUUGAGCCUAGGUUGGCAUCACUUUGGGUGAGAGAAAUGGCUUGGAAAAUAGCCUAUUUUUGUCCACAAGGGCAGAGACACCGGCGUGUAUGACACACGGCCAGGUGACACGGCCGUGUGUCCCCUGAUACUUAUUUAGAAACCAAGUCAGUAGCUUCACACGGCCUAGGACACAGGCGUGUGGCUUGGCCGUAUGGCACAAGUUAGUAUACCCUCCAGUUUUCAUACGGCCUAGCACACAGUUUGGCACACGGGCAUGUGUGGCCAUUUCGAAGGGUACACGGCCUAACACAUGGAUGUGUGGUCUAGCCGUGUGAACCAAGUCAGUGAGUUACACAGGGUCAGACAUGGGCUAAGACACAACCAUAUGAUCCCAUUUCGAAUGCCCACACGGCUUGAGACACGGGCAUGCCCCUUGGCCGUGUGAGACACACAACCUGGCCAUAUGGGCAUGUGUCCCCUGCACUUUGAAAAUUUUCCAUGUUUUUCUAAAAAUUUCCUAAGUACUCGGUUUAGUCCUAAACCACUUUUAAUGUCCAUUUUGGGCUUCGAAGGCUCAUAUUAGGGACCAUAUGAAUGAUUAUGAAUGUUUUUUUGUUUUGAAUGACUAUUGUUUAUGAAAUGCUUGGUUUUAUAAGUUAUAAGUUUGGUAAUGCUCCAUAACCUUGUUCUGGCGUUAGAUACGGGUUAGGGGUGUUACAGUGUGCUAAACCAUAUGUACCCUAUACCUGAAAACAUUAAGAAGACCAUGUGUGACACUCUAUCAUGUGACAACCUGUGUCUCAGGCCGUGUGUACCAAAUUUUGCUUAAAAAACAAGAUAAACUUUACACCUAACUUGGCCACCAAGCCAAGCUUAAAAUCAUAUUAAAACCAUGACCAAAAAUACUCUCAAACACGUCAAAACAUACCAAUUACCUACAAUUCAUGUGCCUAACCAAUGUGCCCUCAUUGACACCACAUCUAAAUCAUUAAAUACAAGCCAACAUUUCAUCCAUCCUUUACCUAACCAAUAUGCCAUUCAAAGGCACCUCAAACAAAGACUAAUUAUUUCAUAAUCAUGUUAAAGAGCAUAUGACAUUAACCACUUUCUCAUCCUCAAUUAACAUUCACCAAAAUGACCAAAUAUAACCAAUCUCACCAAGUUUCCAUUUCACAAAGCAUUUACCGAUUCACAUAAACAAUUAUAAACAUCCAACAAAGUCAAGCUUAUCAACGUACUUAUUUCAUUCAUAACUAUAUGCAAACAUUUGAUUCAAGACAUAACACAAUUCUAAAUUUUAUAUGACUUUCAAUAUAAAUAACUUAUACUAGAUUCAACUAUAAACCAGAAGACUAUUACUCAAAAUAUCAUUAUCCUAGGUACAUGCCAUGACGCAAAAAGAAAUAUGUCACCAAGUUAAGUUCGGGAUUUGUUGUGGAUGCUAAGUUGUUGAACAAAAGUAAGUACUUAACCUGCAUUCAAGGAAGGGUUCAAACAUUAAGCAAACUCAUUCCUUCAAAGAAUCACACCUGCACCUAGUGACUUAAAUUUACAUUCCAUAAUGUAUAAGUUUAUCUUCAUGGAAUCUACUAUACUACUCAAUGAUUCAUUUAAUACCUCUUCCAUGAUAUCUUUCACACCAGUCUUUUCCACUGGAUUUGUUGUAUCUUGUCAAUAUGAGUCAUUUAAUGAAUGACACUCGGUGCCUAAUGGUUAAAUGGUAACCAAUUUUUGUGCCUUGCGCUAGUUGGAUAAACCGACAGAUAUAAUGAUGUACCUAGCACUAGUCAGAUAAACUGACAAAAGUUGCGCCUAGUGCUACUCGGAUAACCGAAAAAUAUAAUGGUGUGCCCAACACUAGUUAGAUAAAUGGGCACUAGUCAGAUAAAUUGACUAAAGUUGCGCCCAGCAUUAGUCGAAUAAAUCGACAAAUAUAAUGGUGUGCCUAGCACUAGUCAGAUAAAUUGAGGAAAGUUGCGCCAAGCGCUAGUCGAAUGAAUUGACAAUGGUUUGCGUAUAAAAGUCCUGCACUACCAACACAAGAUCAAAUAAUCUCUAUUCCAUCAUAUCAUAACUAAACUUUUCAAGUUUACCAAUAUUGCUCAUCAUCAACUUAUCCAAUUCAAUAUACAACCCGUAAUUAUACACAUAAAUCAUUUAUCCAUAACCAACUAUUUAAAUCUAUUUACUCAAUCAUUCAAUUAUUCCAAUUCACUCUUCAUCAACAUUCAUAGUCUAUUUCAUAUAGAAUUAUCACAAAUAUAUAUAUUACAAAAGUUUGUAAGUAAUGAAAAUUAAAUAGUCUGAGUCAAAGAGAUACAAACUUACUUAAACAAAACGGCUAUAAUAACGAGGCCGACGUCUACUCUGCCAGCUUCGCCUUUUCAUGGUUCGAGUUCAUUUGAAUUUUCUCUUGAUCAAUUGAACUUCUAUUAGUUAACUUGACUAAACACUUAAAUUAAUCAAACUUAAGCUAAUAAAUUCCUUCAUCACAUAUUUACAAAAUUCCUCAAUUAUUUAUCCCUUUAUGCAAUUUAAUCCUUAAUUUCCAAAGCUUAUAAUUUAUCCACAUUUAGACAAAAAUCUUAAACAAUCGAAUUUCAUAGGACCAUUCUACUGUCCUCAUCUAACAUAAUUUCAUAUCAAUUACCAUGCAAAUUUAUUAUUUCCAGAAUUUGAUCAUUAACAUCAAAAUCAUUAAAACCCAUUUUUUAAACUAAUUAUAUUUAACUAUCUAGCUUUGUAAUCUGCCAUUUAAUUCUAAACUUUUAUGUUGAUUUCACUCUAAGCCUAAUUUAACUCCCUAUUUCUCAUUUUUAUCCUAAAAUUUUAAAAUUUUCACAAUGUAGUCCAUGUUGUACAAAAUCAACCAUUGACUUUACAAGUUAAUCAUUUAUCAAUUCUAAACUUAAAACCCACCAAAAUCACACCUCAAACUCUAAUUUCAACAAUGGUAACAUCAUAAAUAUUUAACAGUAUCAAAAAUUGUAACAUGGUUCAACUAAAUCGAGUUACAGGGAUCCCAAAAAUAUAAAAAUUACAAGAAACGAAAACAAUGGCACUAACCAAAUUGAGCUUCAAAGCUUAAAGCUCAAACGCGAAUGGUAUUUCUUCUUCCUUCCCAAUUUCGUCAUGCAAAGAAUGAAGAUGAUAAGUUUCUUUUUUCUCUUUCUCCCCACUUUGUUAUUUGUUUCAUUUUGUUUUUAUUUUAUUUUAUUCUAAUAUAACUUUUUUUUAACUUAAGUUCUAUAAUAUAAAACACAUAUAUACUAAACCAUGACCGGCCAUCAUUGUAACCAUUUAUAUAGUGGUCUAUUUAUUUAAUAAGCAGUAAUAUCAAUCCAUACUUUUAUCACUUAUGCAAUUUAGUCUUUAUACUUAAAUUAAACGUUAAUUUAAUGAAAUUACUUAAUUGAAAUUUAAUUCAUUCCUAAUAUAACUCUGUAAAUAUUUAUAAAAAUAUUUAUAAGUCCAGUUUACGAAAACGAGAUCUCGAUAUCUCAAUUUUUAAAAUUAUUAACUUUAAAACCAAUACAUUUACACAUUAUCUAACUUUCCAAUUAACUAAAAUUAUUAGACCAAACUUCAGUUUAAUAAUGUAAUACCCUUGUAAAUAUUAAUAAAUAAUUUUUUUAUUAACUCUAUUAUCGAAAAAUAAAGUUCUAAAACUACCAUUUCCUACAUUAUUAACUUUUGGGUGAACAGCUUUCUAUUGUUUCCUUAGCUACGGUCGGCCAAAUGAAGGGAAAGUGGGCGUUUGUUCUCCCUUUCCAAUAUUUUUGACAUUUAAAAUAACAAAAAUUUGUUGACAAAGUCAACUACUUUUUAAAUGUAUGGCCAAAAUUCAUUUUCAAAAUCAAAUUUAUCUUUAAUGGUUAGAAUUUCAUCUCAUCAUUAAUAUUCUAGCAUAAGUAUAUGCAAAAUGUUCUAAUAACAAAAUAUACUUUAAAUAACUAUGAACAAAUUUUUAAGAAAAGUAUCAUAUGGUAAAUCGAAAAAAUUGAGGCAUUACAAUCUAUGACCGUAUUGUUUAAGUCUUUUGUGGGUUUUUUUCUUUGAUCAGUUGUGGGUUAGAUUUUAUAUUGUUUUUUAAUAUAUUUUAAGUAAUAUAAUUUUAUUGUUUUCUUUAUAAAAUAAAAUUUUAAAUUUACGUAGACACUGCCAACAAAUUAAUUUCACAACUUUAAAGAUAUAAUAAACUUUCUUGAUCAACAGACCGAGGUUAAUUUUAAUUUUAUCGUUACAAAUUUAUGUCAACAUUUUAUGCUAUAUUUAUUAUUAAUUAAAUAAAUUUAAAAUAUCAAAGAAAGCAUUUGUAUUAAUUAUUCUAUUUCAAACAAUAUAUUUAAAAAAUUGAUUCACACAUUACUUGAUUCGUUUGAAAUAUUUUUAUUUUUAUUUUGUUAAAUGAUAAAUUUAAAUAAUUUGUUUGUUGUUAUUCGUGGUUGAAGGUUACGUUUAUUUAUUAAUUAAGGAGGUGUUUGAUAAGUUAUUAAAAAAUAUUUUAAUUAAAAUAAAUAUUUAAUAUUUAAUAUUUUAAAUGUGUUUGAUAAAUAUUUUUAAUUUUUUUACAUAAUAUAAAAUUUUCAACUAAAAAAAGCGUUGAAUAAGUAGCUAUUUAUCCUAGAAAAUAUUAAGUUGAUUUUAUUUUAUUAAAAUAUAAAUAAAUUAUUCUUUUUUAAAAAAUGAGAUAUUUAAAUUACCGUAAUUAUCUUUUAUCUAAAACUAUCUAAAAUAAUAUAAAAUAUUAUAUUAAUAAGAUUAAAAUAAAUAAUAAAUAAUCUUUUUAAAUCAAUAUUAAUUUUUAUCAAAUAACAUAAUUGUAUUCAAUACUUAUAUUUACUAAUUUACCAAACAAAUUUAUAAUAUAAAUUCAACGGGUUUUUUACUAAUAUAUUAUUAAAAAAACACUUAAAUGGUACAAAGGAAAAAUUAUUGACGGAAAUGGUAUGUCUAGGGUGGUCACGCCACUGUCAAAGGCGGCACCACCCUGGAAUCUGACAUCUACAGUAAAAAAAGCAGUAAAACCUGAAAAAAAUAUAAAAAUACUAGUGUAGCCUAUAUCAGAGGCAGCACUGGUGAAGCCUCUGUUAGAGGCGGCACUGGUGAAGCCUCUGUUAGAGGCGGCACCAGUUGUUGAAAUGGCACAGGCGGCACACCCCCAAACCUCUAUUUAAACCCUCAGUGUUAAAACGAAGCCACAGCAACAGUAAAAAAAAAUUGCAGAAGAAGAGAGGGAGAAGAGAAGAAAGAAAGAAAAAAAGAAAGAAGGAAAAAAUUUUUCCAGUAAAAAAAACAGAUUAUAGACGAAGGGAGGGAGAAGAGAAGAGAAGAAAUAAAAGGUAUUUUCUUUUUUUGUUAUUUUUAAAUAGAAUAGAUUAUGAUAAGAAAAAAUAUUUUGUUAGUAUUAUAUAGUUUGUUUAGUGUUAUUUUUAUGUUUUGUUUUAAAAGUUAUUUUGUUUCUUUUGAUUUUUUUGGUAAGUUUUGUAUUUAGAUUAAUUAUGUGUUUAUUGUGAAUGUUAUGUUUUGUUUUAAUAUAUUUGAAAGUUUUUAUGUUAGUAAAACUAUUAUAAAGUAAUUGUUAAUUAGUGAUAACAACUGAAAAUAUUUUUGUUAUAUAUAUUGUUAGAAAUAUCAACAUAUUUGGUAUUACCUGAUGAGAUAAUAACUUUAGCACAAAGGGAGAAAGUUGAUAAGAUGAUGAGAGAAGUACAAGAUUACAAAAUGAAACCAGAAGAAGACAUUGUUCAACACCUUAUUACCGUAAAUCAAAAGAUGCAAAAAGUGUUGUGGAAGAGUCAUGAAAUGAUUAGAAAUAAUAAAGUGCAAUACUUAACCCUUAGAGGGACAUUAAUAGAAUGAGAGCAUCAAAUCAUUUUAGACGAACUUUGGAAGACAUCGGUACCACGAACCUAUUGGAAUCUAGUUAUAAACUUCACGAAGUUUAUAAUCUCUUAUGGAGCAAGGAAAAUAGCGAGACAAAGUAUAGGUUCACGAAAGUUGACUGGGAAGCAAAAUGUGUUUGACAAACCAUGGAUGGAUAAAUUAGUUGUUAGGAAAUUACCAAGAGAACUUGUAUAUUCAAUACCCGUUAUAAAGAUUGAAGAGCCAGAAGUUCCCGAGGAAUUUCCAAAUGGGAUUGUAGAAGAUGAAUAUGAAGAGAAUCAAGAAUUUCUAAAUUGGAUUGUAGAGAAUUUUCCAGAUGAAGAUACAGGAUCGAAGAUGGAAGAAAACGUAGAACUAAAUUUAAGUGGUUAAAUGUAAAGAUAAAUGUUGUUCAUGUACAAAAUGGGAACUGAAAAAGUUUGAGCUUAUGAAUGAAAAAAAUUGCAUAUUGACUAAUUAAUUUUUAUUUAAGUAAUUUAUUUGUUGUUCGAAAUUGUUUUGAGAAAUUUUAUUUAUUUUUUAUCAGAUUGAGUAUUGAAUAUGGAUAAUCAGUUUUUCAUAUAUGUUUAUUUCGAUGAAUCAUCUUAACAACAACGGCUGGAUGCAUAUUUGAAUGUCGGCAACAAAUAGCAAUGAGAUUUAAUAGAAAUGUCUUGUUGGAUGAUAUGAAGGGAAGGAUUAACGCAAAAAUAGUUAGACGUUAUGGGAGAAGGAUCUCGAAACUUUUCUACAAGUUUCUAAUUUAGACAGAUCCCAUCAAAUUCACCGAAAUGGAACUUGUAGACGAUGAAGACGUGCAGACAAUGAUUGCUCUUUACUGUGGGAAUAGGAGUGACAAAAAUGCACCGAUUCACUUAUUUGCUGAGUUAGCCAGUAUGGAGAAAAAUAAAGAUUUCAAUACAUAUGAUGAAGAACAUGAAGCUCAAGAACCGUACAUGAUGGCUCCAAUAUCGUACGUCGAUAGUGAAUCGACCAUACAUGGGAUCAAUAUCGAUCUUAAUGUUACGUCCGAUAUUGAUGUGGUUGGUGAUGAUGGAUACAAUAGUAGUAAUCCUUGUGAUCAAGAGGUCUAUAGUGAUAGUGAUCCCGAUGUGGAUGAUGUCCCCGAUGAUAUUGACGAUGAAGACGUGAAUGACGAUGGAAACAUUAACGCGUCUUCGGUCGGGAACCAGAUACGACAUAUUGUGAUACACAAUAACCCUGGGCCACAUAUGUCGCUCACAGACCCUGACGUAGUGCAUGCAGCUGAGUUCUCGGAGGAAAUACUUCCUACUCACCGACUGGCCGUAAAUUCCGAUCCUGAUGAGUUGUUCGUAAGCUAGAGAUUCGAAAGUAAAGAAGAGUGCGUAUUUUCUAUUAAGCGGUAUAGCAUGUACAUAUCAGUGAAUUACAAAGUUACAGUGUCUAAACUGACAUUAUAUAUUGAGGAAUGUUAGAAGUCAGCAGAAGGCUGCAAUUGGUGGGUACGAGUUACAUUUAUUAAAAAUCGCAAAUAUGGGAGAUACACAAAUUUGUUGGGCCUCAUAUAUGCACAUCAACACGUAUGACAGAAUAUCAUCAAAAAAUUGAUUCCAAAACUAUCUGUACGUGUAUCAUGCCAAUGGUGAAGGACAUGCCGACCAUUAAAGUUUCAGUACUGAUAGCCGAAAUGCAGACACGAUUUCAGUAUCGAAUAUCAUAUCGAAAGGCUUGGAUAGCUAAACAGAUGGCAAUAAAGCAAUUGUAUGGGGAUUUCGAUGCGUCGUAUAACAAGCUACAGGGAUGGAUAGCUGCUAUGCGAGAGUACGUACCGGGGACUGUCAUUGAGUUAUAGACACGACCUUAUUAUGGCCCGGAUGACCAACUACAGUCAGGAAAAAUAAUUUUCCAUUGGACGUUCUGUACGUUUGAUCCAUGUGUGCCCGCAUUUCCCCACUGCAAGCCGUUUGUGUAAGUGGAUGGGACCUUGCUAUAUGGAAAAUAUACAUAGAUCUUACUUCUUACGGUUGCUCAAGAUGGAAACAGGAACAUGCUCCCGAUAGCAUUUGCCAUCGUAGAUAAGGAGAAAAUGGAAUCGUGAGAAUUCUUCCUUACCAACCUGCGGAGGUAUGUUAUUAGCAACGAUAAUAUCUGCAUCAUCUCUGAUAGAGGAAAAGGAUUAAUUGUUGCCAUUAGGCGUUCCAGUGUACCAUAGAGAUCCGUUUACUAUAUCCAACAUAUCGCGGCUAACUUCCAUAGAGAUUAUAAGAAUAUAGACUGGAAGAGACAAGUUGUGGAAAUGGAUAAAUGAUUACCUUAUCUUUUCAAUAUAAGUUAAUAUUUUAGGGCAAUACUGUAACUUAUCUUUUCUUAAUACAUAUACAGCGUACGAGCUAGAGCCACACAUUUUCGGCCAAAGAAUGACUCGACUUGAGAGUGACAUGGAGGGUCAAACGAAUAUAUCCUUCCGAUAGUGGUUGGGUACUAUGGAGCCAUGGCAAUGGGCUCAAAGUUUUGACGAGGGCUUUCGUUAUGGUCAGAUGACCACAAACUUAGUAGAGGGGGUCAACGCUAUUGUGACAGCCCUAAAUUGACCCUAGUCGGAAAGUGGUUUCGGGACCACUAAACCGAGUCAUAAAAAUAAUUAGCCGUCAUAGUUGAUGCUCAUUAUAUGUACAUAUGCAUGUGUGAAAAUUUCAUGUUUGAAUUUUGUUAAUUGUAAGUGAAUUUUAUCAAAUAGGACUUAUGUGAGAAAAUUUAGAAAUGUGCUAGGCAAAUGUAAAGUGGCCUAUUAAUGCAUGUUGUGAAAAUGAUGGGUUUGCAUGUCAAAUUUCCCAAAAUUAAAGCAUAGUGGCCGGCCAUGCUAUGGGUGGAAACAUGUUGUAAACAUGUUGUGUUAGUGUGUUAUGUUAGAAAGAAUAAAAAAAAAGGGUUAGGAUUAAAGUAAUGCAAAGGGAGGAGCGAUGAAAAAAAAAAUUGUCUCAUCCAUGCCCCCCCCCAAUUGCCGUGAAUUGAAGAAAGAAAACAAGUUGUGUUCUUUGGUUCUCCUUGGCCGAAAGGAAAAAGGGAAGAAGGGAGUGAAGCAUUCGGUUAUCCUAGGUCACUAUUAAGGUAAGGAAGUUGUACUAGUUCUUGAAAUUUUAGUUGAUAUUGAGUGAGAUAUCAAGUGAUUUUUGUAAACCAUGUUGAAAUUUUGAUUUUGGGGUGAGUAAGGUUUUUGGCUAUGAAAAUUAAUAAGGGUGAUGAUUGUUGUUUUAUACUAAACCUAGAUGAACAAUGGUAGUUUGCUUACAUCUUGAUAUCUAUGAGUUCCUUUCUUGGUUCUACCUUAGACCCACGAAGUAUAUGUUUAUUGGGUGUUGUUGGAGAUUUAUGAUAGAAGCUAAUGAGUGAGAGUUUGAUAGAUACUAUGAGGUUAAACUUCAUGGGAUUAUAAGCUUGUAAGUUGGAUGAUGAAAUUCAUGCUUUGUGAAGGUAAAUAAUGUAGAAGGAGCAUUCGGCCAUGAUGAAAAAAUUAUGAUGAAGUGAUGUUGAAUGCCUUGAAUAUUGAGUAUAUAUUGUUAUAAGUUGAAUUUAAGGUUUGUGAAAUUGUCUUUGUCAUUGCCGAAUGUGGGUAUAGUUAAGGAGAAUUUGUUAAAGUGCUUGGUUCAUUGAUAUUAGGUUAAUGAUAUGUGUAUUCGGUCAUAAAGGUGCACAUGAGGAAUAUUAGAUUAAUUGUAUCAAAUUGCUUAAUGUGAUAAAAAAAAUGUGUAUGACCAUUUUGUAUUUGAGCUAAAGGUGGCCAUAUGACCUAUCAAAUUUCCAUGUCAUAUUCGGCUAUAAGCUAGCAUAAUGAGACUUUAAUGAGUUAAAUUUGUUUGAAUUAGCUCAAGAGCUUAGAGGACCAAAGUUGGAUAAGGGAAAGGAAAAAGUGGUCAAAUAGCCAUCGAAAUCGUCCGACAACAUCUGAGGUAAGUUUUUGAGUAACGAGACUUAGUUUACGAUUUGAUUAAGUCAUGACGUAUGAGCAUAAUAAAUAUACGGUGAUAUGAUGAUUCUACUUGAAUUAUAUGUUGAGUUAAUUAGUCUAUAUGUAUUACAGGUAGCCGUAUGUGCAUGGAGAUCGUGUCAUAAAGCAAACUAAACCAUGCUGUUUGUAUAUGGCUAGUGAGCCGAAAAUGGGAUUGCUUAAUACGUGACUUGUGUUUGAACUCUAAUUAUGAAAAUGAAAUAUAGAUGUGUCAUGAUUUAUUGAUAUGUGCAUGAAUAUUUGGAUGAUAACCGGGCUAAGUCCCGAAGGCAUUUGUGCGAGUUACUAUAAUCGGGCUAAGUCCCGAAGGCAUUUGUGCGAGUUACUAUAUCCGGGCUAAGUCCCGAAGGCAUUUGUGCGAGUUACUAUAUCCGGGCUAAGUCCCGAAGGCAUUGGUGCGAGUUACUAUAUCCGGGCUAUGUCCCGAAGGCAUUCGAGCGAGUAGCUAUAUCCGGUUAAAUCCCGAAGGUACUUGGCUUGGGAAUGAGCGACCUUGCUGUAAUAGUCUCAAUUAAUACGCUCGUAAAAUCCCAACGAUGAGGUAUGUUUCGUAUAUGCAUUGAAUUAGUUGAUCCCUUACAAAUAGUAUUCGCUCAGUCGAUAAAUGAGCUACCGGCCUUUGGCUAAGUUGAUCUUUUGUGUAUGAAUAUAAGGUUUGGUAAUGUGAAGUAAGUAUGAUAUUGAGAAUUUGUGCAUAUGAAAUUAUCCGUUUAGCCACAUGAAUGCUACACUUUAGUUGUGUCAAAUUUUAUGGCUCAAAACUUACUAAGCAUUAAAUGCUUACUCCGUUUCUUUGAAUCUCUGUUUUAUAGAUUUUGGUUCGUCAACUAUCGGACUCGGGAGUGUCGAAGUCGAAGUCGCCCACACUAUCAAAGCCCUUUGGUACACUUUUGGUUGAACUUUGAAAUGGCAUGUAUAGGACUACCCUUUUUGAUGUUGGUCAUGUACCUUUCGGUAUUGUACAAAUUUGGAUAGCCAUGCGAAAAUGACUUAUAUAUAUUUUGAGCAUAAUGUUAUAAUCAUCUUGUAUGUAUAUGUUCAUUAAGAGGCAUGGAAAUGUUUGGAAACGAUUAGCCAUUGGAAUGGCUAAUCAUGAUCAUAUUUUGUGCUAUAUAUGCUAAAGGGCUAGUUGAAUCAUGGAAACUAUGAAAUAGGUAAAGUCUACCUUAAAGGCAGAUGCUGACAGUAGCAGUGUUGUAAAUUUGAAAAAUCACUAAAAAUAGUAGGAAUAUAAUUAAAUAGUGAAUAAAUUAUGUAAUCUAACCUUGAUGAAUCUAAUUUCAUAUGGAAGAAACGAAACGAUCAUAUGAGUUGUAUGUUAAGAGAUAUUUAGGUUUUCGCGAAACAGGGUCAGAACGGUUUCUGGAUUCCCUAUUCCGACUUUGGAAAUUCAUUAUAAAUUAACAAGAGAUAAUUAGAAGUAAUUCUAUAUAUGUAUAGAUUCCUUUUCGAAUCUAGUUUCUAUAGAAACAAAUGGCAUCAGUAUUGAAGCCCUGUACAGGGAGAUAUCCAAGUCGUAACACAUGAAGGUCAGUGUAGUCGAACCCUGAAACAGGGGAGACUUCAACUAAUAAACUGUACUAAUUGGAUUGACCAAAAAUUCUAUAAAAAAUUUUGUAGAAGGACAUAGGAGUCUAGUUUCAUUAAAAAUUUACGGAACUGGUUUUCGAGUUUUGGAACUUGAGAUAUGAUUUUUAAGGUGACAGUGACGCAGUUAGCCAGCUCGUCUGGAAAUUUAAAAUAGUCUGUGCAAAUAAGUGAAUUAAGUCUGUUAACCCCUCGUGUCCGACUCCGGCAACAGUCUCGGGUACGGGGUGUUACAGCUAUGUUGUUGAAAACACGACAUCUUCCGAUUUCAUCUGUCUUCUUGGCUACAUUCUAUAGGUUGGCUACCUUGAUGCCAAGAAUGGGUGAGCACCAAGUCAACUAGAUAGAGGUGGGACACGUGUUUGUAAAAGAUGUCAGGGAUGCAAUGGUUGCAAACCAUCGGAUGGCGAGGUCAAUGAAUGUAGAAAUAUAUUCAUGAAGCCUUGAAACUUUUCAUGUUACAGAGACCAUUGGUCGUCGACCCGGUAUACCACCUAGGUCCUAUGGAGUUGAUCUCUAGAACAAACAAUGCGAUUGUAGGAGGUUCCAAACACUUCAUUAUCCAUGUGCGGAUGUCGUGGUAGCGUGUGCUAAAGUGAACCUUAAUGUUGAACAAUUUGUCGAUGAUGUGUACACACUCGAGCGCAUGAUACGUGUUUGGGAAAAUGAGUUCCCCGUCCUGCCUGACCUGUCCAUGUGGGAGGUGCCUCUGACUACUUUCGAGCUUGUCCCAGACAGAGGGCUACGUUAGAAUUUGAGAGGUUAUCCGCAAUCAUCCAGAAUCCGUAAUGAAAUAGACAUUAGGGAGAAAUCCGACGAUAAGCGUUAUGGAUUAUGCAGGUUAGCUGGUCAUAAUCAGAGUAAAUGCCCGCAGCGAAACUAUCAUGUUGGACAAUCGUCACGAUCGGGUAGGAAUUGAUCUUAUGUUGUAAUGUAUUUAAUUUAUAUAAAAAAAUUAUAUUGCAAAGUUUGUUCCAAUUAGAUUAAUGUUGUAAUGUAUUUAAUUUAUAUUACAAGACUAAGUUUGUUACAAGUUUUAGUGUUUUAAUGUUCAAAAUGUCCAAAUUAAUCUAAUUUACGUUAUGGUCAAAUUUUGUUCCACUUUUCAAAGUUCCAAUUAAUCUAAUUAAAUAUAUACAAAAAAAUACAAAUUUUUUAAUAUCAAAACCCAAUAAACCCCUAAAAUUGAUGGUUCGAUGGUGUGGUCCUAGGGGUAUAUUUCUGUGGAGGUCGAUGUUUACGUUGUGCAUGAUUGCGACGACCAACAUCCUCUUCAAUCACAGGUGAGGGUGUCUAAUACAUAGAAUAAAAAUCAUAUGGCUCGAAUGGCAUCGAUGAACUUGAGCCGGGAGGAGUGCCAUGCUGCGGUGGAUACAACCCAAGAGGAGUAGAGUACUGCUGUGGAUACGGGCCAGGGGUAGUGCUAUACUGCGGUGGAUAUGGGCAGGAAGAUGUGCUGUGCUGCGGUGGAUACGACCCAAAGAUAUCAAACCCGUAAUAGUAUCUGCCCCUUGACGAGCCCGGGAAAUAGUCAUUUCCCGACAAAUCGUGAUGAUAAGAAGUAUCAGUCGAAUGUGAAUGCGAUCGCUCAGACUCGGCCUCAGGCUGUGUCUCGAACUCCGACUCUGGGUCAAGCUCGGGAUCUGGCUAUGGAUCGGGCUUUAUAUUGGCCACUGGCUCAUAUGCCGUAGGUUACUGCACAUGCGAGGGGGCUAUAGUCGACUACCCACCAAGUAAAUAUGGUUUUCCCAUACUAGAGUACCAUUGUAUGUACUUUAAUGAUGGUAGCAAAUCAGAAGACAUAUCCAUCUGAGGUCUUCGACCCAUCCAAUUAUCCCCCACCGUAACAUAUCUCCGGCGCACAACCUCCCAAUGCAUUCUAUGUUUCCAUCUCUUGUUGAUGCCGUGAACCUUCCCACCUGCAUUGGUGGAUCCGAGAUAUACUGGAUGCAACCAAACUGUCAUAGUACUCGAUCCCUGUGGUACCACUCGACUACAUUAAAACUGAUAAUUGGAGCGUUAGUGCACCACAAUUGAUAAUGAACGUAGGCAGACGAGGGUAUAAUAGUUGAAAUUUCUGGUCUACGAUAUGACAUCCAUAUAAACUGUACGAUUAAUACCAUGGUUAAAAUUUAACAUGGUUCGAGUAAGAUAUACAAAGUAAUUACAUGUCAUGAAUUUUUGAAUAGCUUACCCCUUCCAUAGCAUGUUGUUCAAUCAUCAGACGAUAUAUCGGGACAGUGUACGACCUCCCAAUACCCGGAUAAAUACUCCAUCUAUGAAAACAAUUUUCAAGUAAAUAUAGUAUCGUUAGAAUAGUAUCAUUAUAAAGAAAUUGUCAAUUAAUAACAAGUUAAAUUUUAUCACUUGUUAACUAGUGGAAAUAUGUAUGGUUGGUGACUAACCGAUAUCAAGAAUAACAUUCGAUAAAGAGCCCAUGACUGCAACAAUACAAGGCAUCUGCCUAUGUCUACAGCAUCAAGCUUUAUCGUCCGACAAAGCUCACGACACAACAUAGCCAGAACUGCGGAACCCCAACUAUACGAACGAACAUUACGCAAAUCAGCUAAUAGAGGUAAAUUCUGGAGAUGAACCCUGUUGUUGUUCGCAUUGGGCAUCAGUACACCUCCUAUAAUAUGCAUAAUGUAUGCUCGAGCUGCGCACAUCAACUCUUCUUCAGUGGCAUUAACUAAUAGAUGCUCAAAAUUGGCUUUUAGCCAUGUAAAUUUCAACUCCCAAAAAUUGGACUCAUCAUCGCAAAGGCGAAGCCCCUAGUAGGCUAUAACAAAGUGUAGCCAGCUCAGCUAUCGCACUUACGUCCGUUACAACAUUCUCGUCAAUUGGGAGCCCAAAGUACAAUGCAGCAUCCUCCAGAGUGACAGUGCACUCCCCACACGACAAAUGAAAAGUGUGGGUCUCCGGGCACCAACGCUAGACCAAUACGGAUAUUAAAUCGUACCGCAAAUCGAACAUUCGGAUCAAUGCUGCUAACCCGAAUCCAGCUAGCUCCAAGUAGGGCAUCAGUCAUGCAUUCGGGGAAUAUCCUAAGCCAUUCACCUGGCCUCUUAAUAUGCGGUACGAGCCCUAACAGUGUUAAAUUACAGAAAAUAGUUAUAAUAACAUAGUUUAUUUCCUUAAAUUACGUAAAUCUUUUUUAAAUGGAACCUUUGAUUAACAAAUAACAAUAUUUUACCAUAUUAUUAAUUGUAUCACAUAUGUGAGGAUCUUUCCUAAUCAAUGAAGCCAUUAUAAUGCCUGCAAUUUCAAAAUAAAUUUCGGUUAUUAAUUUUAAUGUUUGAUGGAUUUUAAAUAUUUAUUAGAAUAACUAAAUUUUAUAUAUUACUUUUAAUUACAAAAAAAAUACCAAACAGUUUUUUCGACAACAUAUUUUUUGCUAUACUACAUUAAAAUAAUAAAUAUAUCCAACUCAAAUACAAAUAUUAUUAUUAUUAUUUUAAAAUGAUAAUAAAUAAAAUAUUCUGGUUUAAAAUAUAAUAUAUAUAAUACACCCGACAUGUAGUUAAUAUAUUUUAAAUUAAUUUUUAUUUAAUAAUAAUUUCAGCGAUGCAAUAAUAAUUAAAAAACAAACACAUGAUAAGUUAUUCAAUAUUAUUUUAAAAUAUACUAUAAUAUGUAAUUAAUUAAAUUUAUUGGGAAAUAAAAAAUAUGGGAAAACAAGAAGGGGCUAUGUUGCAAUAUUCUUAAUUUUUAUUUAUUUAGUGAUUUUGGCCCUUUGUUUGUAUUUUUAAAAUUUUCGGAUUUUAUUUUUAAAAUAUAUUAUUUUCGUAUUUUACUUUUUAUAUUAUUUUAGUACAUAAUGUUUCAAAUAUAUUAUUUUAGUGUUUUUUAUAUUAAUUUAGUAAGUAACCCUAAUUUUGACCUUUUGUUUGUAUUUUUAAAAUUUUUGGAUUUUAUUUUUUAAAAUAUACUAUUUUCGUAUUUUAUUUUUUAUAUUAUUUUAGUACAUAAUGUUUCAAAUGUAUUAUUUUAGUGUUUUUUAAUAUUAAUUUAUUAAAUAACCCUUAUUUUGGCCCUUUGUUUGUAUUUUUAAAAUUUUUGAAUUUUAUUUUUUAAAAUAUACUAUUUUCGUAUUUUAUUUUUUAUAUUAUUUUAGUACAUAAUGUUUCAAAUGUAUUAUUUUAAUAUUUUUUAAUAUUAAUUUAGUAAAUAACCCUGAUUUUGGCCCUUUGUUUGUAUUUUUAAAAUUUAAAAUUUUUAUUUUUUAAAAUAUACUAUUUUAAUAUUUUAUCUUUUAUAUUAUUUUAGUACAUAAUGUUUUAAAUGUAUUAUUUUAGUAUUUUUUUAUAUUAAAUUAGUAAAUAACCCUGAUUUGGCAAUUUGUUUGUAUUUUUAAAAUUUCCGGAUUUUUUUUUUUAAAAUAUACUAUUUUCAGAUUUUAUUUUUAUAUUAUUUUAGUACAUAAUGUUUUAAAUGUAUUAUUUUAGUUUUUUUUAUAUUAAUUUAGUAAAUAACCCUGAUUUUGGCCCUUUGUUUGUAUUUUUAAAAUUUUCGGAUUUUAUUUUUUAAAAUAUACUAUUUUCGUAUUUUAUUUUUUAUAUUAUUUUAGUACAUAAUGUUUCAAAUGUAUUAUUUUAAUUUUUUAAUAUUAAUUUAGUAAAUAACCCUUAUUUUGGCCCUUUGUUUGUAUUUUUAAAAUUUUCGAAUUCUAUUUUUUAAAAUAUUCUAUUUUUGUAUUUUAUCUUUUAUAUUAUUUUAGUACAUAAUGUUUUAAAUGUAUUAUUUUACUGUUUUUUAUAUUAAAUUAGUAAAUAACCCUAAUUUGGCCCUUUGUUUGUAUUUUUAAAAUUUUUGAUUUUUUUUAAAAUAUACUAUUUUCGUAUUUUAUUUUUUAUAUUAUUUUAGUACAUAAUGUUUUAAAUGUAUUAUUUCAGUAUUUUUUUAUAUUAAUUUAGUAAGUAACUCUGAUUUUGGCCAUUUGUUUGUAUUUUUAAAAUUUUCGGAUUUUAUUUUUUAAAAUAUACUAUUUUCGUAUUUUAUUUUUAUAUUAUUUUAGUAAAAAACCAGCCAACACCACUUUCUCAAAAAAAAUAUUUUUUUCAUAUUUUAUUUCUUUUCGUAUUUUAUUUUUUCAUUAAGAUAUUUUUUAGUAUUUUAUUUUUUAUACUAUUUCUGUAAAAUAGUAUAAAAACCCCAUCAAAUAAAAAGUAAAAAAAUUAAAAUAAUCAGAAUAUAACAUGCCAAAUAAAUUUUAUAAAAAAUAUAUCUAAUAAACCUAAAACACACUUAACAAAUAAAUUACAUAAAAUAAUAAUAAUAAAAAGUUCUUUGCACAUAAUAGGUUUUUUUACUUCAAUAAAAAUUAGAAAUAAAUUAGAAAUUAAUGAAAAUAUAAAAUAAAUACAAACAUACCUUAAUAUUUCUUUUUAACCAAAUAACACAUUGUAAAAAAAUAAAUUUAAAAAUUAAAUCUGAAUUAAAUCAAAAUCAAUCAACAACAAUAUUAACACCUAAAAUAAAUAAAUCAUUUACUUAAAAAAAUUACCCUUUUUUUCUUUCUUUUCCCUUCUCUCCUUCUCCCUCUUCUUCUCCUUCUCUUUUUCUUUUUCUUUUUUCUUCCCUCACUAAUGCCGCCUCCUCCUCCUCCUUCUUCUUCUUCUCUUCUUCCUUUUCUUCUUCUCCUUCAUUCUUCCCGAAAUGAAGUUGGAGACCAUAAUAUAUGGUCCCAAACACAGAAAAAAAAAGGGCUCUGCAUGAGGGGUCUAAUCCCCGGUGCCGCCACUGCUAAUGGCACCAUCAGUGCUGCCUGUGGCAGACCCACCACCAGUGCUGCCUGCGGCAUGGCCUUUGCCUGUGCUGCUUCUUUUUGCUGCUUCAGCUUUUUUUUCAGUUUUUUCAGCUUUUACUGCUUUUUUUUGCUGUUGAUGUCAGAUUCUAGGGUGGUGCUCCUCUAGCAGUGGCAUGACCAUCCUGAACAUACCAUUUCCGUCAAUAAUUUUAACUUUGUACCAUUUAAGUGUUUUUUUUAUAUAAUAUAUUAGUAAAAACCCCAAAUUCAACACUUAAAAGUUUUAGCAAAAAAAACUAAACACUUAAUUUUUCAGUACUUAAAUUUUUAGUUUAUCAAACACACCCUAAAUAAAUAAAAAGUUUAAAAAUAAUUUUAUUAACUAUUUCAUUUUGAAUUUAAAUGAUAUAUUUUAAAAGAUAGAUCAGUCGUUGAUAUAUACACUAAUUUAGGGUUAAAAUAUUUGAGAGGUCCUUGUAUUAUAGAAAUUGAAUCAAAUUAGUCCCUAUUAAAAAGAAUCAAAUAAGUUUAAAUUGUAAAAGAGUUAAUAUUUAUUGUAAAAAAAUGACUAGAAAUUAUUAUUAUUUAAUUACAGUUCAAUUCCUAACAAAAAUUAUUAUUUAUAUAAUCAUAAAAACUUUAAAAAUAUUAGUUCUAUUAAACAAUAAAAAUUAACUUUAUCCCGAUUUAAUUUAAUUUGAUUCUUUUCAAUAAUAUAAAAAUUGAUUUGAUCCAUAUAAUAAUACAGAGAUUAUCGAUCUAAUCUAAAAUAUAUAUUUUUUUUUUUACUAAAUGAUGAAUUUGAAGAAUGUGUGUUUAACGGCAGCUCUAAUAUCCAACUUGCGCGGAAAAAUAAGUUAUUUUAUUUUUCUUAUUUUAAUUUAAGUAACAUAUUUGUAGUGAUUAAUUUGAAUAGUGAAGAGUUAACUUAUUUAAAAAAUGUAUAAUUUUUAUAAAAUGUAUUAAUAUUAUUAGGUUUCAAAACAAAUUUUUGUAAAUAAAUAAUUAUUAAAGUUUAUUAAAAAAAUCCGAAUAUAUUGAAACACGGUAAAUGGUUUUCAUUUUGACACGUGGCUUAGUAUAUUUAUUUACUUCUUUUCAAUGUUUGACUGGAAAAUGAAGAGAAAGGGGAUUGGGGCAUUAAAAAAGUAUUAUUAUGAAUGUAUAAAUAUACACUGAAAUUUUCAUACAUGGUCAACUUUUUAAAAGAAUACAUAUAAAAUUAUCCUCCGUAGUAUGAUAUAUUAAUAUAAUAUCAUGAUUUAAUUUUUAAAAAUAUUUUUUUGUGUUAUAUAAUUAUGUUGUGCCUUUAUUAUGAUGAUUUAAUUUUAAAUGUUGUGCAUAUUUUUUUUUAAAAUGAUUUAAAUAAUUAAAGUUUGUUUAUAGUUUACUCAUAAGUCAAUUUAGUACUAUAUCCAAUUCAAUCCUAAUUCUUUUAAUUUCAUUAUUUAAAUCGUGCAUCUACCAUGAAUAUCAUCUUAAUUUAAAAUAUAUUUAUAUUCAUAAACAUCCAUCAUAAUUUUGUAUAUUAAUGCUAAUAUUAUUAGCAUUUAGACGUAGAAAUUAAAUAAAUUGUUAUUCAAAAAACUUUUAAUUUAAAAUUACAAUUUACUAUUAGUUUAUAAAAAUGUAUAUAUAUUAAAAUAAAAUAUAAAACUGAACAAAGUUUUUAGAACUAAAUCAAUUAUUGAAUCAAUCAUGCUAACAGUUUGACUAGUUUAUUUGGUUUGAUUUAAUAAAUCAUUAAAGAUUCAUAAAUAAAAAAAUCUUAAGGCUUAGAGGCGUAAGAAGCCCUAAAAAGUUUUCAAAACAAACAAUUAAACCCCCCUUUUUUUUACACUCAAUUAAGUAUUUAAACUUUAAAAUGUAUCAAAAAGUUCUUCAAAUUUUUUCAAAAAAAAUAAUUAAGCCCCUUUUUUUUUGCUCUUAAUUACUACCAAAAUGUAUCAAAAAUGUCAUUUAACCGUUAACUUUAAUAGUUGAAUAAUUAAAGUUAACUACCCUUAAUUUUUUUUAGUUAAAGCCACCAUAUGUCACAACCUAAAAAUUAUUAAAUUUUAAUAAAAAUGUAAACAGACCAAUUUGCCCGGCCCAUUGGAAACCCAAAAUAAAGUAUAAAAUAAAUAAAUAAAUAAAUAACCCAAAGUCCAUUUAAUGUCCUUUUACAAACUAAUACCUAUUACAAGCCCAAACUAAUAUUAAACCCAAAUCAGAGCAAGCCCAAUAGGCCCAUUUCCCCAACAGUUUCAGAAACCCUAGGUCACCCCCCUUUUCUCCUGUGCCGCAACAGCAGCCUCCAUGUGCCUUCAGCCCCGUACGACUGCUACGCACGCCUCCGUACGCCUCACGCCAAGCGCCAGCACGACCCCCGUACACGCGCCUUGCACCGGUACCUGCAAAAAAAAAAACAAGAGACAACAGCAUAUACCCAAUGCGAAAGCAAAGAAAGAAUUUUGUAUUAUUAUUUAUUUAUUUUCUAUCAUUUUCGGCUAUAAAGCAAAAGCAUUUGAUCAUUGUAUUUUUUUGGACGCACAAUAGGCAAUACAAAAAGACAACCAAUAUCGGAAGGUGAUUUUCCGAUCUAAAUCUACGGGCUUUCUUUUUGUGAUUAUUCUCUUGUUUUGUUUUGUUUUUUUAUUUUAUUUUAUUUCAAAAGCAAAUAAAGUGAAGAGGAAAUGACCUUACCGUGCGAGCAAGCCAUGGAUUUCUUCUCCCUUCUUCGUCGAAAUCGGAGUUGAGGAGGGAUUUCGGGCUAAGAUUCCUUCAGGCUCGAAGAGUCCCACAUGGUGAAGAUGAAUCGGCAUUUAGCUGAGGGGAUUAGGGAUUUGAAAAUAAGCAGAAUGGGUGCUUGUUGAUUCGGUUGGCUUAGUCCAUAUAAGAGACUGGGAACGGCACCGUUUUGACCAAUUUUAAUGGUCUUGAUACGACGUGUGUGGUGGCUUUCACCCAAUAACCCGACCAACGCCUAGUUAAGACCCGCGUGUUAGGUCAGAGAGGGAUAUUUGCACCUUAAGUCCUUUUUUUCGACGUUGUGUUGCGAUUGAGUUCUGUCAGCCUUUUCCUUUGUUUUUAAUUUAUUCCUUUAAUUUACAAGCGAAGUCAAUUCAAUCCACGCUUAAACGCAGCACUUUGGGAUCUGGCAUAUUGCUAGUUUUAGUCCUUAUGCAUCAACGCGUUAGGCUUUAGUCCUUCCUCUAAUUUCAACAAUUUAUUGUAUUUAUUAAUUAUCCUUUUAGUUUUAUUUUUGCUUCAAUUGAGUUUCUUUUAUUUAUUCAUUACUUUCAGCAUGUUUUUAUUCUUUGAAACCCUUUUAUUUUUGAAAAUUUACUUAUUAUUCACCAUUUAAUAUAUUAUUUUGGAGUAUUUUAUUAAGUUUUGCAUGGUUUUAGUUUGUUAUUCAUACUUUCAUAUAUAUAUAUAUGUAAAUAUAUCUAUACAUGUAACUAUAUAUAUCUAUUUAUUUAUUUUCUUUUAAAUUUGUUUGUUUAAAAUGUUCUUUUAUAUACACAUAUAUAUAUACACCUUAUAAUAAGGUUAAUUCUUUUAUGCAUUUUAUUAAUUUUAUAUUAUUUUACAUAUAUAAUUCCUUUUAAAUUUAUUCUUAUAUAUUAUUACAUGAUCCUACAUAAUAUAUUUUUUAGGUUAUUAUUACGUAAGUACAUAUAUUUAUCGAUAUCUAUAUUUGAUAUAUAUAUUAUUAUUAAAUCUAUGUAUUUUAUACAUAUAGUUUUCUUGAUAUAUAUAUAUGUAAGCAUAUUCUUAAAUCCAUUAUAUAGUUUAUUAUAAAAUUAACUUAAUCUCGUAUGUAUUUCUAUGUUUUUUACAAAAGAUUAUUUUCAAAGUUAUUUAUGCAUAUAUUUUGUAAAUCUAUUUUGUGUAUUACGUCUCAUCAUGUAUUUUAUUAUCCUUUCAUAUUAUAUAUUAUUUAAAUUAUCACAUAUUUUGUAAACCCUUAAAUGAAUUUGUGUUCAAAAUAUUUUACAUGCAAUUUGAUUCAAACUUUUAUUCUAUAAUAUUUAUUUCAAUAAUUAUAUAUUUUUAGCUUCUACGCAAUUUUGUCAACUUAUAUAUUAUGUGUUUUAAAAAUAUUCAUUCUAUAAUAUAUAUUUUAAUGAUUGCAUGUGUAUAUUAAGCUUGUCUUUACAAAUAUUUUUUUAUUCAUCAAUCCCUCAAUUCAUAUAGUGUGUAUCGUGUACUUAUCAUUAUUUUAAAAUAGUUUUAUACCAUAUUGCUUCUUCGAUUUGCAUUUUAUUUUUGUGCAUCUAGUAGUAAUCAUUUUAUAUUAUGCCAUGUAUGUUGUCGUUGCAUGUUAUGUAUUCAUUGUUUUAUAUUGUCAUGUUAAUUAUUCUCCAUGCAUGAUCGAAAUUGAGUUAUAUUUCCAAGUUAGUUAUACUUAAUUGUUUAAGUGCUUGUUAGUUGAUUAAAUAAAUUGUAUUACCUCCACUCUUCCAUUGUCGUAUUUUUUGCGUACAUAUAUUACCCCAUAUCAUCGUUUUCCACUUGGUUUUUGAAAUGUGGUUUUAUAAAAUCUAAAUUUUUAUGAUUAAUUUCGUCUUAUUUCAAAUCGAAUUAAUGCGUUUUAAGCUAGUUUCACAAUUAUUUAAGAAUUCUUUAAAACGAAGGUGAUAUUCGAUAUUUGGCAAUUCGUGGAAUCGUGCCCUAAAGUGUUGGGUUGCAAUUUCUCGUUUGCUCAAAAUAGUCGAAGGUCCCUUUAGAAUUUUAGCCAUGUCUUUUAAAAAUUCUUUAAACGAAGGCGAUGUUCAAUAUUUGGCAAUUCGCGGAAUCGUGCCCUAUCGUGCUGGGUUGCAAUUUCUCGUUUGUUCAAAAUAAUUAAAGGUCCCUUUUGAAUUUCACUUAUGUUUUCUAAAAACUCUUCAAAACGAAGGUAAUAUUCGAUGUUUGGCAAUUCAGGGAAUCGUGCUGGGUUGCGAUUUCCUGUUUGUCCAAAAUGAUCGAAGAUUCCUUUAGAAUUUCACUCAUACUCUCUAAAUUCUAGAAUAAGGCAAUGUCUAACAUCUAGAAAUUCGAGGAGUUGUGCCCUACUGUGCUGGGUUUCGAUUUUCUCGUUGGAUUAAAUAAUUGGGCAUCCUUUUGCGGUUUUCAACGUAUAAAUUUUUGGAAGUCAAAAUUUGUCAUGUUUUCGAGGGCAUAAAGGAUCAUGUCCUAUCGUGCUGGAUGUGGUGCUAUAUUCCUCUUAAGCAAGAGAAUUUUGAUGACCAACUCGGGUUAUUCAAAUAUUAUCAAAAAGGGAACCACAUUUCAAAAAAAAAUUCAAAUCUUAGACAUAAGGACAGUAUUUAAUCGAUUUAGUACCAAUUUUGGGCGUAGUGAGGGUGCUAAUCCUUCCUCAUGCGUAACCGACUCCCGAACCUAUUUUCCUCAAAAGUUCGUAGACUAAAAUCGUUGUUUUAGUAAACCAGAAUGUUUUAUUAAAAUAACCAAAUCAUUAGGUGAUUCGAUCACACCAAAACAGAAAGAUCGGUGGCGACUCCAUUUCCGUAUUUCAAAAAGUAGAUUCCCUAUUUUUUAUUAAAUUAAAAUUUUUUAAAAGAUGGUUUCGAUAGCUUGGCGACUCCGCUGGGGAUACCAAUCAAGAGAGUCUAGCCAUGAAAUCGAUUAUUUGUUGUCCUUUUGUCGAAAUAUUGAAAAUUUGUUUUCAAAAUCAUAAUUGCAUUUUUUGUAUGAUUGCCAUGGUGCGGAUCUUGUAGAAUAAUGCUGCAUUUUAUUGCAUAACCGCUAUGGUCACACCUUCUAAGUGGAGGAAUGAAACUAUGCUUUCAUGAGGUUUUCACCUCCACAUGGGCUAGUGGAUUGCUUUCGGGGUACAUCCGUACCUAUGAUUUCGUGAGAUUUUCAUCUCUGCAUGGUCAUAGGGAAAUGUAUCCCCCUGAACCGAACUCGAUCUAUAUGAGCCUAUAAUGGGUGAGGAUUGAGGAAUCUGCUGGUUCGAAUAUCUUAUUGCUAGAACCGAACCACAUAUAGUGAACCUUAGGAGCUAUCCGUGGGUGGAGCCACGUCAAGCCUUAGUAUUUACCCGUAUAUGCGUUGUAAUUAUCGUUUAUGUGCUUGCAUUUUAUCACUAUUAUUUGAUACUAACCUGUGUUUUGUUUUGUUUGUUUUUUGUUGCAUGACAUUGCAUACUAAAGGAGGUGUUGAUUCAUAUUCAAUUACUAAGUUAGAAAGUUUGACAUGGAGAAUGAAUUUCUUAGUAAAGUUUAGGAUAAUGCGGCCGUUCGUGCAUGGUCAAAGAAGCUACAAUCAGAAAAAGGGGAUAGCCUGGCAGAAGAAUAUAUAUCAGAGUUGCAGAAAUUCACUCGUGUCAAUAUAGCACAGAAUGAACUGCAAGAGUUGAGAGAUAUUUGGGCUAGUUGGGAUGAAGGGACCAAGCAGUUGUUUUAUCAAAGCUAUGGUGAUAUAUCCUACUUGCUAGACAUUGGAGUGGAUAAACAUCUGUUCUGAGUUAUGGUGCAGUUUUAGAAUUCUGCUUACAAGUGUUUCACUUUUGGAGAAGUGGAUUUAGUACCUACCAUGGAGCAAUACACUACUCUGCUCAGGUGUCCAAAAAUUCAGGUCAGAAAGACUUAUGCCUGGGUUUUUAGUGGUCAGACUUUCGUGAAGAAAAUGAUGAGCAUUUCAGGGAUGAGUGAACCUUGGGUCACUGCUCGAAUUCAACAAAAAGGAGAUAGUAAAUGUAUCCCUUGGGAGAACUUGCGAGAUUUGAUUUUAACGCAUCCAGAUGAAAGAAAAAGGGUUGAUAUCUUCCCCUUAAGCAUCUACUGCUUGGUAAUUUUUCCUAAGGCUUUGAGGCACAUGGACGAGGCAGUCAAUGACUUAUUCAAUCGUCUUGGGAAAUGAAUCACACAUGUACCGGCGAUAUUGGCUGAGACGUUCAGAUCCUUAAGCACGUAUCGGAAGACGGGCGAUGGGCGGUUUAUUGGAUGUGCACAACUGUUGAUGGUGUGGUUUCACUUUUGGAAGGUAGACAAGGUUUCUUAUCAGGUCUUUUCCGAAGGUUAUUCCCCGCUAAAAGAGGAGGCAGCCAUACAAAGGAGAGAGGAUAUCUCGGAGGAGAAGUGGAUGGAAAUUAUUCAAAACCUCAAGAAGGGGGAUAUCGAGUGGAAAGUGUAUUGGAUGGUUCCUGAUGAGAUCAUGUACCGAUGUGGUAACUUUGAUUGGGUGCCAUUGUUAGGAAUUUGGGGAGCUACCGAGUAUACUCCAUUGCUUACCUUGAGGCAAUAUAAAUCGAGGCAGUUUGUACCCACGACCUACAGACUUGCCCAGUGUGAAUUCUCUUUUAAAGGUGCCCACUAUAAGAAGAAAGUUCGGGAGCUAUCAGAUGCUUGGAAGCAAGCUCGUUGGAUGAAGAGGUUGGCCAUCGGUUCUAUGGUGACGCCCGAGUAUGAUGGAUGGUUUAAAAAGAGAGUUAAUGAUAACGUUCCUUGGCCAAGCUUGGAAAAUACUCGACCUAUGGUGGAACAAUUACAAGUAGCCCCAUCAGAUUUGGAAAUUAUAAAGCAAGACUUCGAGAAGAAGAGUUCAGAGCUUGGGAAAAAGAUCGAACAAUUGGAGGAAGAGAAGAUGCACUUAAGAUUAGACGCUGAUGUCCAGAGGUCAGAGGCUGAGAAGUAGAGAAAAGGGAAAACUAAGGCCGAAGAAGAUUUAGACAGCUUGAAGACUGACUAUAAGAAGUUACGCUUGUUUAUGAGGACUGCGGCGUUAGGUAAGACUUUCGAACAAUGGCGCCAUGAAAUUCGAGAAGAAAAGACCAAGACCGACCGAUGGGAAAGGAAAUUCCGAGAAGCUCAGGCACGAAAUGAAGAUUGAGAGAAGAGUCUGUCAGAAAACAGAAAUGAGCGAGGUAAAUUAAAGGCUAGAGUGGCAGAACUCGAAAAGUCCCUUCAUCAGUACCGAAACCGCAACACCGCAAUAGAAUUGAGGGCAAGUUUGAGCAAAAUAGAAGAAAUGAAAGGAAAAAUAGAAGAAUUAUAAGCGUCAUUGCAAAACUGUAAUAUGCGGAUUCAGUUUUUCGAGGCAAAUGAGGACCAUUGGAAAGAGCAGCUUCACCAUGCGCAAAACCAAGUCAAAAACAGGGAUUACCUUAUGGGGGAAGCCAUAACCCAGAUUCGAGAGGUAGCCGGCUACUUGCAAGCUUUAGCAGUACAGGCGAACACACUAAGCGUGAAGUACGAGUUGGAGUCGGAUCGCGGGCAGGAGCUGGCCUCGUUGCUUAGAAAAAUUAAGACUUUAAGCAUUAGAGCAAAGUUUUAUUUGUAACUCAACUUUAUGUAAAAGAAUUUUAUUUUCUAGUGAAGUUUUCUAAAGGGAAUUGAAUCAAAAUUGAUGUCUCCUUUGUAUUCAUGCAUUUGCAUUACAUCACAUCAUUAUGCAUUAAAGGUCAUAAAAGGUUUCUAAUUAAUUAAAAAUCAUUUCAGUAACAUGGAAACCAACAAAAACCAACCAACUAUGCACCCGUACGGUACAAGGAAAAAGUCAAUGGAUAAAAGACUUGCGAAAUUGGAGCAAAUGCAAAAGGACAUACAGCAACAAAUGCAAGAGCAGCUAGCCAAGAUUCAGCGAGGGAUGAAGGAGCAAAUGAUGGAAUCCCAAAAGGAAAGGAUGAGUCAGUUAUCCCAAUUGUUGAUGGGAAGAACGGAUAAGAGAAAGGGCCCCAUGGACAAUUUUGAAGAAGCUAAUGAAGAUCCUCAAUACCGCCCUGGCUUCACUCCGACACAUGUGCCAAUGAAGCCCGAGAUUAAUUUACACAAAACCAUCUAUUACGAUCAUGCCUCAGCAGAUUCAGGUCGGAGCUUUGAUACCGAUGAAUUUCCAAGCCGGUUCAGGCUCUAACCUUGUUAAUAACCCGAGUUAUUCCCUGUUCCCGAUUUGGACGAAGUUGCAGAAGAAGAAAAGGCGAGGGUAGAAUUGUAAAAAUAAUUGGAAGAACAUUGUAAAUGGUUAGAGGAUAAAUUCAGAGCUAUGGAAAGCACAGAUAAUCAUCAAGGGAUUGAUGUUAAGGAUUUGAGUUUGGUCCCAGACUUGGUCCUUCCCCCCAAAUUUAAAAUGCCUAAAUUUGAAAAAUACAAUGGAACGAGCUGCCCUAAAGCUCACAUCACGAUGUUUUGCAGGCGAAUGACAUUCACUGUUUUUAAGAUAGUCUGGUUGGGGCGGCAUCUAAGCGGUAUAACCAAUUGAGCUGAGCUAAAAUUAAUUUAUGGAAAGACUUGGCUCAGGCCUUUAUGAAACAAUAUAAUCAUGUGACGGACAUGACCCUCGACAGGAUCACUCUCUAGAAUAUAGAGAAGAAAUCAAAUGAAAGUUUCAGGCAGUAAGCACAAAGAUGGAGAGAAAUGGCCAUACAAGUUCACCCGCUGCUUCUAGAAAAGGAAACCACGAUGCUCUUUAUCAACACCUUGAAGGCCCAUUUUAUCACUCAUAUGUUGGGAAGCGCCACCAAGAGCUUCUCAGACAUAGUGAUGACGGGUGAAAUGAUUGAAAAUGCUGUGAUGAGUGGAAAGAUAGAAGCAGGAGAAAGUAACAGAAAGUCGGCCCCGAAGAAAAGAGACAACAAAAUGAACAACACGAGCACAUUCAGUAAGGGUCAGUCCAAGUCACUUACCGUAAAUCAACCAAAGACGGUGACCACCAAUUAGCACAGCACUGUGAGACAAGAAUCCAAAGCAAAGGAGAACAUAGAAAGGCCACAGUUUACCCCUAUACCUAUGACGUAUAGGGAGCUGUACCAGAACCUAUUCAACGCUCAUGUAGUGUCCCCUUUUUACCUGAAGCCACUGUAGCCCCCGUAUCCCAAGUGGUAUGACACAAACGCCCAGUGUGAAUACCACGCGGGAAUCACCGGGCACUCAAUCGAAAAUUGCACCGCUUUCAAGAAAAUAGUCAAAAGACUCAUUAAAAUGGGGAUUGUGAGGUUUGACGACCCAGCCGUACCCAAUGUAGCAGGAAACCCGCUCCCCAAUCAUACCGACCAAUGAGUGAAUAGGAUAAGCGAAGGCAAGAACAAGAAGAUCAAAAGUGAGGCUGCAGAAGUCAGGACCUCAUUGAGACGGGUGUGGAAGGAGAUGGUCAAAAGAGGAUUGAUCCCGUUGGAUUUGAGAAAAGAAUCCGAAGAAGAGAGGAACUACUGCGAGUUCCACAAAGAGGUGGGGCAUGAAAUCCAAGAGUGUGUGGAGUUCAAGGCCCUCGUGCAGAACAUGAUAAACAAUAAGGAAAUAGAGUUUUAUAAAGAAGCUAAAAACCCCGAAGUGGGAGAUAUAUGUGCAUCGGAGGGAGGAUCGACGACGUAGAAUCAAACAACUAACUAUCCCGUGGUCAUCAUAUCAUGACCCAGAAGUAAUGAAGCUAGAGUGCAAAUGCCACCGAGGGUUAUAAUCCAAAGACCUGCAGUCUUCCCCUACAAAGACAGUAAAAGGCUCCCAUGGAAUUAUGAUUGCAACUUGACGAUUUUGGGAAAGGAAAGCCUGGUUGACGCUUCAAAAGUGGACCAAGAUAGGGGCUCUUAUACAUGUAGCGGGAGACGUUACGAUACAGUAAAUGAGAAGGCACAACCCGUAAAGGGAAAAGCCCUAGUGGUCGAAGAGAUGAAAGAAAAAACGACCAAAUCUGAACUUUCUGUUAAUGAGCCAGUUAAAGAGUAGGAGGCUAAGGAGUUUUUGAAAUUCCUAAAACACAGCGAGUACAGUGUGGUGGAAUAGCUACGUAAACAACCAGCUCGUAUCUCGGUGCUGGCCUUACUCUUGAGUUCUGAAGUCCACCGCAGCUCGCUGAUGAAGGUUCUGAAUGAAACAUAUGUUGCUAAUGAUAUCUCCGUCAACAAGCUGGACCGCUUGGUUAGAAACAUAAGUGCUGACAACUAUAUCUUUUUCAAUGACGAUGGGAUACCACCCGGUGGCAUGGGGUCGACUAAAACUUUGCACAUCAUCACGCGUUGUAAAGGGUAUACGCUGCCAGGCAUACUGAUUGACAAUGGAUCGGCUUUGAACGUCCUACCAUUGACUACGCUAAACAGAUUACCUAUAGACAGCUCUCACAUGAAGGAGUGUCAGAACAUAGUGAAGGCAUUCGAUGGCACAGAGAGAAGGGUGAUGGGCAGAAUCGAGGUACCUCUUCAGAUCAGGCCAAACACAUAUGAGGUGGAUUUCCUAGUAAUAGAUAUCAAGACCUCAUACAAUUGCUUAUUGGGGAGGCCCUGGAUACAUUCAGCUGGGGCAGUGCCUUCAUUGUUGCAUCAAAAGUUGAAGCUGGUAUCAGAGGGACAAUUAAUAACGAUCAAUACUGAAGAGGAUAUCAUUGUAACUGUAAGCAAUAAUGCGCCCUAUUUGGAGACAGAUGACGAAGCAAUCGAAUGCUCAUUUUGGUCUCUAGAAUUCGUUAAUGUGAUGUUCAUCACCGACGGAAGCAAGAUUCUGAUGCCAAAAUUGUCCAAAACUACGAGGAUGAGUCUACAGUUGAUGGUUAGAAAAGGGGCCCUUCCCGGAAGAGGACUUGGGAGACAUCUCCAAGGAAGGGUUGAAACACCGGUAUGAAGGACAAGAGAGACCGCUUCGUCUUAGGAUUUAAGCCAGACACAAGACAAAGGAGAAAGGAGCUGGAAAAGAAGCAAGAGAGAAGGAGAGCACGAUUAACGGGGGAGGAAAUCAAAUAGAAGCCAAUGAUAUUCCCCCAUAUAUCGAAGACUUUUGUGUCCGGAGGAAUUAUUCAUCCUGAGAGAGGCACGUCAAGAAAAGAAGCCAUAGAAGAAAGGUUGGAAAGCUUAGACAUCAAUGCCAUAUACGACAAAGAGACUGGAAGAGAAAGUUUGUCGGGCAUUUGCCCCUACCUACCUGGAAGUGUUCUGGAUAACUAGACUGCAGAAGAGAUUCCUGUAGUUUUUAGAACUGAUUCAGAGUAAUGUCCAAAACACACUUAUUACUCUAGGCCUAGGAGUAAUAAAAAUCUUUAGUGAAAUAGGCUGAUGUUUAAAAACGUUAUUUCAAUGAAAUGCACGGUUAUUAUCAUUUUCGAACAAAUGUUCUCUCAUUCUUUCAAUUUCAUUCAUAAUCAUAUUAUACAAACGAUUACUUUUGGAUUCUUUUAUUCUUUAAACAUUCUUCUAAAUAUUCUUUCAUUCAUCAUUCAUAAUCAUACCAUACAGAUAAGUGUUCUUGAAUUCUUUUGAUUAUUUGUAUCUUCAUUCAUCCUCAUAAUAGGUCCCUAGAUAUCAAUGAUACGAGUGACACGUUAGUAGCUCAGAAUCUCCUUUUGAGCGAGAUGCGUGUAUGGAGGAUUCUCAGGAUUUCGAAGAUGACCAAUGCUGUAACCUAUAAUUUGUUGAGGAUGGUAGAACAAGACGAGAAAUAAAUCCUACCUCACAAAGAAUCAGUAAAAAUUAUGAGCUUGGGAGAAGGACAAGAGGUGAAGAUCGGAACUUGUAUCACCAUGGAGAUGAAGCGAGACCUUAUUGAAUUACUUCAAGAAUUCAAAGAUGUCUUCGCAUGGUCAUACCAAGACAUGCCCGGGUUGGACACUGAUAUCGUGGUGCACCGAUUUCCCAUAAAGGAAGAAUGUAAGCUAGUUCAGCAAAAACUCCGAAGAAUGAGGCCCAACGUCUUGCUAAAAAUAAAAGAAGAGGUUGGAAAGCAGUUCAACACUAGAGUCUUGAAAGUGGUAAAAUACUCAGAUUGGGUAGCCAACAUCGUCCCCGUCCCUAAGAAAGAUGGAAAAGUGUGAAUGUGUGUGGACUACAGAGAUUUGAACAAAGCCAGCCCAAAGGACAAUUUCCCACUGCCUCAUAUUGACACCCUAGUGGACAAUACGGCAGGACACUCACUGUUUUCAUUCAUGGACAGUUUCUCUGGAUAUAACCAGUUCAAGAUGCAUCCUAAAGAUAUGGAGAAGACCACAUUUGUAACCAUGUGGGGUACGUUUUGCUACAAGGUGAUGCCGUUUGGACUGAAGAAUGCGGGGGCAACAUAUCAAAAAGCCAGGGUAACCUUAUUUCAUGACAUGAUGCAUAAAGACAUCAAGGUUUAUGUCGAUGAUAUGAUCGCAAAGUCUCAAACAGAGAAGGAGCACAUACAAGUCCUGAGAAAAUUGUUCUUGAGGUUGAGAAAGUUUCAGCUAAAACUCAACCCAGCCAAAUGUACCUUCGGAGCCAAGUCCGGAAAGCUUCUUGGAUUCGUGGUCAGUGAGAAAGGGAUCGAGAUCGAUCCAGACAAAGUCAAAGCUAUACAAGACUAUCUCCGCCGCGUACUCAGAAAGAGGUUCGAGGCUUUCUAGGAAGAUUAAAUUACAUCGCUCGGUUCAUUUCACAACUGACCGAUAAAUGUGACCCUGUCUUUCGCCUCCUCAAGAAACACAACCCAGGUGAAUGGGAUGAAAAAUGCCAAAGGGCUUUCGACAAGGUCAAACAGUAUUAAUCCAACGCUCCGAUACUAAUGCCACCUAACCCUGAUAAGCCAUUGAUACUGUAUUUGGCAGUAUUUGAGAAUUCCAUGGGAUGCGUAUUGGGUCAGCAUGAUGAGUCAGGAAGGAAAGAAAAAGCUAUUCACUAUCUUAGUAAAAAGUUCACGGAAUGUGAGACAAGGUACCCGCAGAUAGAAAAGUUGUGUUGUGCCCUAAUUUUGACAACCCGAAGACUGAGGCAGUAUAUGUUAUAUCAUACUACUUGGCUCAUUUCAAAACUCGACCCUUUAAAGUACAUGAUGGAGUCGACAGCUUUGAAUGGAAGGAUGGCCCGAUGGCAAAUUUUGCUCUCCAAUUCGACAUAGUCUAUGUGAACCAAAAAGUAGUAAAAGGGAGUGCAAUAGCAGAUUUUCUGGCCAGUGGAGCUUUGGAAGACUACGAGCCUUUGAACUUCGAUUUCCUAAAUGAAGACUUGAUCUGUGUUGCGACCACCAAAGAGAGUGCUUUGGAAAAACUUCCCUUGAAACUAAACUUCGAUGGGGCAUCAAAUGCCGUGGGUAAUGGAAUCGGGGCAGUCUUGGUAUCCCCAAACGGAGAUCAUUAUCCAUUUACUAGUAAAUUGGAUUUUGAUUGUACGAAUAACAUGGUAGAAUACGAAGCGUGCAUCAUGGGUAUCCGUGUAGCCAUAGCACGCAAGAUUAAAAGUGCUAGAGGUGUAUGGAGAUUCUACGUUAGUGAUUUAUCAACUCAAGGGAGAAUGGGAGACCAGAGACCCCAAGUUAAUCGAUUAUCAGAAACUGGUCCUUGAAUUGAUUAAAGAUUUUGAUAACAUUACUUUCUGCUACCUUCCACGGGACGAAAAUCAGAUGGCCGAUGCUUUGGCCACCUUAGCUUCCAUGAUCAAGUUGAAUAAACAAGAAGAUGUCAAACCCAUCCGAAUGAGCAUUUAUGAAACUCCGGCCCACUGUUAUAAUAACGAUGAAGAUGAAGAAAAAGAUGACCACCCUUGGUCUCACGAUAUAUUGCAAUAUGUGAAGAAUCGUGAGUACCCGGACCAGGUAAGUGAGAAUGACAAAAGGACGCUGAGAAGAUUGGCCAUUGACUAUGUCUUAGAUGGGGAGAUCCUAUACAAAAGAAGAAAGGAUCAAGUGCUAUUAAGAUGUGUAGACGCUGUAGAGGCUAAGCAAAUCUUAGAAGAAGUCUACGAGGGCGUCUGUGGGACACACGCUAAUGGCUUUACAAUGGCUAGGCAAAUUAUGAGAUUCAGAUAUUAUUGGUCCACAAUGGAAGGAGACAGUGUCAAUUACGCCAAUAGAUGUCAUAAAUGCCAAAUCUAUGGAGACAAAAUUCACGUGCCUCCUUCACCGCUGUAUGUCAUAACUUCCCUGUGGCCUUUCUCUAUGUGGGGUAUGGAUAUGAUUGGACCAAUAUCGCCUAAAGUUUCCAACGGGCAUCGGUUCAUCUUUGUGGUUAUUGACUACUUCACCAAAUGGGUAGAAGCUGCUUCGUAUGCUAGUGUUACAAAGUCGGCAGUGAGCAGAUUUUUGAAAAAAGAGAUCAUAUGUCGAUAUGGAAUGCCAGAGAGGAUUAUAUCUAACAAUGCAUUAAACCUAAAUAACAGUACGAUAGCGGAAGUCUGCAGUCAAUUCAAGAUCAGACACCACAACUCGUCACCAUAUCGCCCGAAAAUGAGUGGGGCAGUGGAAGCAGGCAAUAAAAACAUUAAGAAGAUUGUGGGGAAGAUGACCGAGACCUAUAAAGAUUGGCAUGAGAAGUUACCAUUUGCCCUCUUUGCUUAUCGAACAUCAGUCAGAACCUCAACUGGGGCAACUCCUUUCUCUUUGGUCUACGGAAUGGAAGCGGUUUUGCCGAUCGAAGUCAAGAUCCCGUCCCUCUGAGUGUUGUCGGAACUAAAGUUGGAUGAAGCAGAGUGGAUCCAGUCUCGAUAUGACCAGUUGAAAUUAAUUGAGGAAAAGAGGCUAAGAGCUAUCCGUCAUGGUUAGAUGUACCAAAAACGAAUGAUGCGGGCAUAUGACAAAAAGGUUCACCUUAGAGAAUUCCACGAGGAAGACCUGUUUUUGAAAAAGAUCCUUCCCAUACAGAAGGAUUUUCAAGGAAAAUGGAUGCCUAAUUGGGAGGGGCCUUACGUGGUGAAGAAAGCUUUCUCCGGAGGAGCAUUGAUUCUAGCCGAGAUGGAUGGUAGAAACUUGCCCAAUCCUGUAAAUGCAGAUUUCAUCAAGAGGUAUUUUACCUAAAGAGGGAGAGGCCAAGGUGAAAACCCGCAAAGGGCACCUUGAGGCUCUAAAAAAAAGAGUGGAGAGGCCAAGGUGAAAACCUGCAAAAGGCAUUUUGAGACCAAAGGGGUUUUUGAGUUGAAAACCCGAAAAUGGGUAGCUCAAAUUUUGAAUAUGGGGUAUGUGGUAGUCUUGUCCUCCCAAAAUUAACAAGAGGGAAGAACAAUACAUCUUGGAGCAUCGACAAAAUAUGCGGGAUCUCCCGAACACACAUAGUUCGAAAGAGCCUUUGAGAAAUUAGAAUAGUGAAGCUCGUGCUGCGAUAUCUGGGGCACAUUUUUUCUCAUUUCAUUUUGUACCUUAGCAGAUCUGCUAUCCUAUUUAAUGUAUUCACUUCGAGCUUACUCAAUAAAAUUCCAUCUUGUCCAUUAUGAUAGUCUCUUUCAAGCAUUUUGUUGAAAUCACGAUUUUUGGACUUAUCAUAUUCAAACAAAAGAAGUUAUUCAUAUUACUCUGGAAGGUCUCUAAAUAGUACAAGGACCUGAAAUAGGGCCACUAGUCAGAACUAACCAGACUCAAGAGUAGGAAACAUUGGAAAAAGAAUAGUCCAAAUUGUGACUAUUUCUUCAAAUUCUUUGUCAAAGAUAAUGGCUAAGCAAGAAGACACGACAACACAUCAAUGAUAGAACCCGGAUGAACUAUGAGCAAUGAGACCUUAAACGUUAAAAAAGGAAUUACUCUCAUGACAUUUCUACAUUCAUAAUCAUUCAUUUAGUUAGGAGCACUUGACUCAUUUUAAUCAUGGCAUCCUAAUUAUUUUGCACAAGCAUAGAUACAGGAAACCAAUUCUACAUAUCAUGUCCUCAGAAGACGGUGUAGCAGCAUUGGUGAAUUCUACAGAUCUUGUCUCCCUGAAGUUGCAGUGGAGCAGAUCAAAGACGGUGAAUCUAGUCUUCAUGAGGUUGCAGUGAAACAGAUUCAAGCCACCAUCCUAUCUCCCUAAAGUUGUAGUGGAGUAGCCUGAAGAUUGCAGAUCUCGUCUCCAGUGGAGCAGAUCGAAGAAAACGAGCCUUAACCCCCUAAGUAGUAGGGCAACAGGCCGAAGAUUGCAAAAUCUUGUCUUCCUGAAGUUGCAAUGAAGUAGAUGUAAACCACCAUCCUAUCUCCCUAAAGUUGUAGUGGAAUAGGCUGAAGAUUCAGAUCUCGUCUCCAGUGGAGCAGAUCGAAGAAAACGAGUCUUAACCCCCUAAGUAGUAGGGCAACAGGCCGAAUAUUGCAAAAUCUUGUCUUCCUGAAGUUGCAGUGAAGCAGAUUUAAGCUACCAUCCUAUCUCCCUAAAGUUGUAGUAAAGUAGGCUGAAGAUUGCAGAUCUCGUCUCCAGUGGAGAAGAUCGAAGAAAACAAGCCUUAACCCUCUAAGUAGUAGGGCAACAAGCCGAAGAUUGUAAGAUCUUGCCUCUCUGAAGUUGCAGUGGAGCAUAUUGAAGCUACUUGAAGAAAAGAAGUACCAAGAAGUCAAGACUCAGCAAGUCCCGGCAAAAUUGGCCUAUUUAUAGUCUUUGCUAUAUUCUCGUUACACGACAAUGAGCAAAGAGGGGCAGCUGUAAACGGGCCAAUUUGCCCUGCCCAUUGGAAACCCAAAUAAAGUAUAAAAUAAAUAAAUAAAUAAAAAACCCACAGUCCAUUUAAUGUCCUUUUACAAACUAAUACCUAUUACAAGCCCAAACUAAUAUUAAAACCCAAAUCAGAGCAAGCCCAAUAAGCCCAUUUCCCUAACAGUUCAGAAACCCUAAGUCACCCCCAUUUUCCCUUGCGCUGCAACAGCAGCCUCCAUGCACUUUCAGCUCCGUACGACUGCCACGCAUGCCUUCGUACGCCUCACGCCAAGAUCCAGCACGACCCCUGUACACGCGCCUUGCACCCGUACCUGCAAAAAAAAAAAACAAACGAGCAACAGCAGCAUAUACCCAAUGCGAAAGCAAAGAAAGAAUUUUGUAUUUUUAUUUAUUUUUUUCUAUCAUUUUCGGCUAUAAAGCAAAAGCAUUCGAUCAUUGUAUUUUUUUGGAUGCACAAUAGGCAAUACAAAAAGAAAACCAAUAUCGGAAGGUGAUUUUCCGAUCUAAAUCUCCGGGCUUUCUUUUUGUGAUUAUUCUCUUGUUUUGUUUUUUUAUUUUAUUUUAUUUUAUUUCGAAAGCAAAUAAAGUGAAGAGGAAAGGACCUUACCGUACGAGCAAGCCAUGGAUUUCUUCUCCCUUCUUCGUCGAAAUCGAAGUUGAGGAGGGAUUUCGGGCUAAGAUUCCUUCAGGCUCGAAGAGUCCCACAUGGUGAAGAUGAAUCGGCAUUUAGCAGAGGGGAUUAGGGAUUUGAAAAUAAGCAGAAUGGGUGCUUGUUGAUUCGGUUGGCUUAGUCCAUAUAAAAGACUGGGAACGGCGCUGUUUUGACCGAUUUUAAUGGUCUUGAUACGACGUCGUGUGG
Molecule: long non-coding RNA, 63962 nt
Filed under: Gossypium barbadense (sea-island cotton)
Lineage: Eukaryota; Viridiplantae; Streptophyta; Magnoliopsida; Malvales; Malvaceae
Description: long non-coding RNA (GBAR_LNC004335)
Source: RNAcentral